UUUUUUUUUUUGUUGACCCGAGUCGGAAAACUCCGUCGCCGACGCUAUGUGAGGCCGACACGUGACGCCUAGGCCCACGUGCCGGCCUCACAUCGACGACGACGGUGUUUUCCAACCUCGGACUAUUUUCGCGAAACAAGAGGGGAGGAGGACGUACUGGUGACGAUGCCGGCGCGGUCGCGGAUGAGGCGGGUCCGGACGAUGCCGGGGUGGACGCAGUUGGCCGUGACGUCGGCGCCCAUCUCCCUGAGCCGGCCGGCGAGGGCCGUGGUGUGGAGCACGUUGGCGAGCUUGGAGAGCGCGUAGGCCCGCGUCGGAUCGUACGGCCUGCCAUCAAGUUUGCACCAGAGCGUUCACGUGAAUCUCGAAGCACCAUAGAUGGGUACUACACACAUAGUAAGUGCAUGCUGUGGUGAUUAAUCAACAAGGUAACAACGAACGAACGUACGUGGCCUUGCGGGUGACGCGGCGGAGGUAGGCGAGGGGCCCGUCGUCCUCGGCGCCGGCGGCGAACCAGGCGUGCACGGUGGAGGAGACGUUGACGAUCCGGCCCUGCACGCCGGUGGCCCUGGCCGUGUCCGCCAUGGCCGGCAGCAGCAGCUUGGUGAGCAGGAAGUGGCCCAGGUAGUUGGUGGCGAAGGUCAUCUCCACGCCGUCCUCCGACACCGCGAACCGCUCCGCGUACUGCCCCGCGUUGUUUCUGCACGCACGAUCAGCUCAGUCAAUCACGGCGAUCGCCGGCGACGGGGACGAGGACGUGGUGGAUCGACCGAUUACAUGAGGAGGUUGAGGGGGAGGCGGAGGGCGAGGAAGCGGGCGACGAAGCGGCGGACGGAGCCGAGGGAGGAGAGGUCAAGCGGGAGCACCACGACGCGGUCGCCGUCCGGGACGGCGAGGAUGCGGGCGCGGGCCUCCUCGGCGGCCUUGAGGUUGCGCGCCGGGAGCACGAGCCGGGCGCCGCGCCGGGCGAGCACGCGGGCCGUCUCGGCGCCGAUGCCCGAGGUCGCGCCGGUGACGAUGGCGGUGAUGUGGCUCAGGUCGCCGGCGGGCAGGGUGGCCUCCUCGGCGGUGGUGCGCGAGCCGUAGCCGCUCGGGCCGGACGAGCCGGCCAGGUACCUCAGCGAGCUCAGCAUGGCGCUCAUGGAGGAGGCUGCAGAGGGUGAGAGAGAGAGAGAGAGAGAGAGAGAGAGAUGGGUAGAGAGCGGUGUGACCGGUGAGGGAGGAGGAGGAGGGGGUAUAAAUAGGCGGCCGGCCGGAGAGGUGAAGGAGAUGGAGCUCCGUCAGUCCGUCGAUGGCGCGCACGCACGCACGGUGCGCCGCUGAGUUGCACUAGGAGGUGCUCUGGAAAGCGACAUGCACUGCAGACUGCACGUACCAACGAUCGAUCGAUUUCUCCCUUGUCCAUUAAAACUUCGUAGAUCGCGUCAUCGAAAAUAAAUUGACCCUCAAACUGCAUUUUAAUAAAAAAAAAUGAUUGAAUGAUUAGGAAAAUAGUGAUAUUCCAGGCCUGCUGGAAACUUAAUGGCACGUCGUAUGAUGCUCACAUUUUCUAGAAUUUACCCUUAAAUUGUACUUUAAGAACUAAGGUGUAUGUAGGGAGUUCGUCAAUCUCAAAACGAUGUACCAAUUCGGUCUUUUGAAGGUACUCAUAAAGGCGAAUAUAUAUGCAAAUGUAUGAUCAUCUAUGUCUAUACUGUGCUAAUUCUUUUUACCUUUGUUCAUAAGGAGAAAAGGAGAUUGACUGAUUGCAAUCGUCUUGAUUCGGAAUAGUUCUGACAGGCACACCUAGCAUUACAAAUGUAGGCCUUUUUUGGUUUGAAGGAAUUUUGUAUGAAUUUCAUAAGAUAUAAUUUUCAUAGGUAAUUUUUUUUUAAACCAUUUGGUUUAGGAAAAAGUCCAGAACGAACCUUGAACUCGUAGGGGCUAGCGAAAUCGAACCCUGAACUGUCAAUCCCGGUAAUCGGCACUCUAAACUCUUUGAUCCCGGUCUAAUUCGAACCCUGAUGCGAUUUGGGGGUGGAAAACGCUGACGUGGCCAGGAUUUGCAUCAGAUGUGGGCCAAGGAGGCGAGCUUACUUAACCGCAGCGCCAGUUCUAACCGUUAUGCUAGUCUGAGACGAAAGAAAAGGGGAUCGAGUUCAUCCAGUUCUUGGCGGGGCAGGCGAUUUGGGAGUGUGGCGGCGUUGCGGCGCACGGCGGGGAAGAAAAUGUCGUGGUCUAACUGUGAAUCUUCCGCGCCUGGCUUCCGAGGAGCUUCUGGGAGAAGGAGGGGCACAGAGGCGAGAUCUCCGGUGCCAUACCGCCAGAAUCCGAUGGCGUAUGAACCGGAGGUGUUGUGCCAUUGCAAUCCGAGGAGGAAGGCUCCUAGAUGGAUAUCCUGGAGUCGUGCGAACCCAGGGAGGCGCUACUACUCUUGCGUCAAUGCAAUGGUUCGAUCUCUGUCUCUCUCUGAUUGUUUCUACUUUCUAUCUCAGAUUUUUUCCUGAUUUGCACCUUGCUCUCUGUGAUUGAUUUCUUGCACAGAAUGGAGAUGGAUGUGGGUUUGUUCAGUGGUAUGAUUCUCCAUUGCCCAAGUUUUUUAGUGACUUGAUUGGUGAUCUGCGUGAUGAAGUAUGGAGGCUGCAUGGUCAAGACAAUGUGCCUCCUGUGUCAGUAGAACAAGUGGAAGAGUGCAGAGACCAGUUUGUGUUAGUAGAGCCUACUGUGAAGGAUCUGCAGGAUCAGCUAAAGGAGAAGAGUGCAGAGAUUGCUGCUUUGAAGGGAAAAUUUGAGAAAGUGGUUUUCAUUGUACUUGUCUUUGUGUUUGGAGUAGUGGCUGGGAAGUUGUUUGCAUUUUAGCUUUCUGUGCUAGGUUUAGUGGCAGAGAAGGAAUGUAAUGUGCUUUUGCCAAGUUUAUUAGAAUGUUGGAAGUUUGUGCUCAGCAUUGGAAAGUUUAUUUCUUUGCAAUUGCUUUCAUUUUAAUUUCUUUGCAAAGUUUGUGCUCAGCAUGGCAAGGAACAAAGUUUCAGUACAUGAUUACAAAUGAGACAAUCUGACAACAAAAUAUAUCAUGAUUUAAAAGGAGACAACUGAUGAACCAAGUUUGAAACUAACAUUUCAUCACUGAUGAACCAAAUUUUUGCACCAUUACAUGAUCAUACAUCUCACCAAAAUAAGGUGCAUCACUGAUGAACCCUAAUGUUUGCACCAUUACAUCACUUUUGACAAGCACACAUAAGGAUCAGUCCUGACCACCACUUCCUGCAGUGAAGUACCUAUAGCUGGGAUAAUCUUCAGCAUCUUUUCUGCCCCUGUGCCUUGUUGCACCUCUUGCACCACUUCCUGAUGCUCCAGUUGUCUGCCUUGGUGGUCUAAACCUUGAUGGUGCAGUAGUAGCUUGACCAGCAGAUGCGUUAGUAGCUUGACCAGCAGAUGCACUUCCAGACUGUGAUAUAUAGCAGGUAUAAGCUUAAUCAGUAACAAUUUAAAAUGAACUGUAAGAAAAUAGCAGUACAUAGCAGGUAUAAGAAAUGAAUUACCUCUGAUGCCUUCCUUUUCUUGGUAGUCUUAGUCAGGUGUGCAUUUUUCUUCUUACCUCUUUCUGGGUUUUUCUCACAGCUUGACUUGUUGUGGCCUGGAUUGCCACACAUGGAGCAAGCAAUGAUAGUGCCAUGUCUGGUCAUUCUAUUGGAAGGCUUAGGUUUCUCAGUCUCUUCCCUCUUCCUGUGGUUCUUCUUAGGCCUACCUGGCAUUUUCACAUAUCCAGGAGCUAUUGGCCUUAGCUUCUCUGAAAUUGGCCACAUUUCAGGGCCUUCCACAGGCUGGAGACAGUGGUCAUAUAUUUUGUUGAACACAUCAACAGAGUAGCAAGGAUCAAUGUAGUCCUCAACUAGCUUGCCACACUUGUAGAUUGCUGUGAUGGCAUGAGAGCAAGGAACCCCUGCCAGCUGGAAAUAGCCACAUGAGCAUGUCCUUUUGUCAAGACUCACAAUAUAUUGUCUUUUUCUCCCUGUCAACAGCUUGAUUUCAAAGCCAUCUUUCCCAUUCCACAAGACCUCCAUGAAUUGGGUUCUAGCUAUGCUUGUCUUCAACUUUUUAAAUAUGCUUGGGCAUAUCUUUCCAUGAAACUUCUGUCCUUUGGCCCUUUGUUCCUGAAUUCUGGUAAAUACCUUCUUCCUAAUCUUCUCUUGCAUGGAUAUAAUUGGGUAGAACCUUGCUUCCACUAUAGAAUGGUUGAAGGACUCACAUAAGUUGUUAUCAACUGACUCACAUUUGGAACCCACUUGGAAAUAUGCCCUUGCCCAAUGUGUUGGCUCUGUUCUCAUCAUGUCCUUUGCACCUUCAGGUGUUUCCUGUGCUAGUUUUGCUUUAUAAUAGUUGAAAUCUUGUUGGUUAGAUGCUUUGGCUGCUUAGCUGGGCUCUUAAUCACUUCAGUUAUCACACCACUUCAAUCAGUAACAAACACAUCAUCUACUAACUGCACAUAUUCCUCUUCUUCUUGAUCUUGAGCUGGCUCUGCACUAAUGAUAUGAUCAGGUUGAGAAGCAUCAGAUUCACAUAUGUCCAUUAAUUCAUCUUCAAAGUCACUGCCACUACUGUUGUACUUAUCCUCCUCUUGAUGGUACUCAAUAUAGAUAUCUGCUACUCCUCCCACACAAAUAUAGUCUGCCAUGCUCAUACAACCACUGUCAUCGUGCAACAACAACAAUCCAUUGAUAAGCUGUUUACCAGGAAUAAGAAAAUACAACUUCAUCGAAUCCUUGACCUCCAUAUGAUCUUUAAGAAAACCUUUCACUUCCUGAAACGAGAGCUUGUCCCUCUCGAUCUCUGACAUCUCUUGAUCGCCCCCCACAUACUCCAAAUUAGAACCAUGGCGGACAAACUCCCCUCCAAUAUGAAAUCUCACAUUCAAAAUCUCAGUCGGGUCCAUGAUGAAACUGAAAUGCAAAGGAAAUAAUCACUCACGGAAGUAAUCAACCCUAAAAUCGACCAAAAUCGGAGGCAAAAACCUAGCUUUACCAGCACCAGAAAAAAAAACCAAUAUUCCCGCCUAAACCCUAACCCUAAUGCCACAGAAAGGCUCCGCACUACGGCUACAGGACGAGGAGAUGUCGGAGAACUUACAUACACCGUUGCUUCUCAUCGCGCGGUCACGAUCGUCGCCGCUCCGUUCAUCCGCCCGUCGCCAUUGCCGCCAUUGGAGCAGAGAAGGAGACGGGGCAGAGUGGAGAGACUGGACUGGUCGGGCUACAGAAUGGGCAGAUACAGUACUCUACCUGGGCUGCAGAGGAUAAGCCCAUCUUCUUUCGGCCCAUAAGCGCGACGGACCGGCCGAAAAACUAUCUCCCACAGAAAUCCCGGCCACGUCAGCGAAUCCCCGUUUGGCAAUAGGACUCAGGGUUCGAAUUAGACCGGGACCAAAGAGUUCAGAGUGCCGAUUACCGGGAUUGACAGUUCAAGGUUCGAUUUCGCUAGCCCCUACGAGUUUAAGGUUCGUUAUGGACUUUUUCCUUUGGUUUAUAGGAAUAGAAUACUAUUAUUAUGAAGGAAUUUUUUCUAUCCUUCAUAUUUUUGAUAGGAAAAUAAACAAUAGCGUAGACUCGGUGAUAAAAAAAUCCUAUGAUGUCAAGUAGAGGACAUCUUCUUUCCUAAUCCUAUUUAUAGGAUUUGAGAUACAUGCAUCUCACUUUGUAUGGCUUUUUCUAUUCUUAUUAUUUUUCUAACCUAUGAACCAAAAGAGGCCUUACAAGGUCGGUCAAUGUUAUGGUUGUACCACCAGUCCACCAAGGAGCAAACAUCCGCCUUAUUUCUCGCAUCGUAGCGAUCCAUAGACCAAUAACAGAAGAUGUUAAUCGACCUUGAGUCGGUGAAAUUUCAUAUAUGAAGAAGAUAUUUUGUCACUGUCGAUUCUGUUAUGGAGUAUCGAAUAUGUGGUUGGGUAGUACUGAAUACAUGCCGUUAAAACUGUAGAAAUUGUCCUUUUCUUCCCCUCUCCUGUGUGGCAUGGUGACCGGAGCGAAGGUCGAUCUACUACUCGCCUCCUCGGCGAGACUGCAUCCCCCCUCCCCCUCCACAUGUCCCUCCAUCGCUGUCGAUGGGAGGAGGGCGGGGACCCUUUCGAUGGAGGUAGGGUUAUGCAUAAAUUUGGGUUUUGUUUCUACCCGACGACAGUGGCGUAGCCAGGGGGUGGACAGGGUGGUUGAUGGACCACCCUGAAAUUCCACCAUAGCCAAUGUAUAAGAUAACAAAAAUUACAAUGCAUAAAAUUACAUGAAAUUUUUAUUAUUGGACCAUCCUGGCUCAUCGAGCUAGCUACGCCACUGUCCGGCGAUGGCGCCGUCAACGGCAUGGAAGAAUAAGGUUCUCGCCGUCGCGCCGAUGAAAGCAUGAGGAGGUGGUGGAGAGCGGCAGUGUGACGAGAAAGGAAAUGAUGCGAGUGAGGAUCGUCGGAGUCCGGAGUGUGUCAGCUAGUGGGCUGCUUCGUAUGCAUGUACAUGUACGUACAUGUGCGUCGGUCAAACAAUAUAUCAUCUUCUAAUCUGCGUACGCACGUACGUACGUACAUACUCAGGCUAGAUAGACAUAGAUAUAGCUAGCCUAUAUGAUGUGGAUGAUGGAGCACGUGCGUUGCGGCAUAUUUGCGGUCCACCGAUCCCUCUUGAGACUGUGUCGCGAGAUGGACGGAUGGAUGGCGAUGGAUCGUCUUGACCAGCAGCAGUUUCUCCCGCUCCUUCUCCGUCAACUCAAAUAAGACGCAAUUUAAAUAGGACAUGCUUCGCGACAGUAUCUACAAAAUCAUGGCUUUGUGCCGUUCUUCAUCCUGAGGAUGUUGUUUUGGAAUUUAGGUAUACUAGCAAAAUGACCCGUGCGUUGCAACGUAAGAAAAAAAAACAUAAACUUCAAUAAUGAUGACCACAUUAUGUUCACAUAUCAUCGCUUGAUUUUGAAAUUUUAUGCACAAAUGCAAGAAAAUGUUUCUUCUUUCAAAAUUAAUUCAUAAGUUGAAGCAAUCUUUACAUUUUUCAAAAAAUAUAUAUCAUGGUUGUCAAAAAUCUUGGUAACUUAAAGAUUUAUUCUGAAUUUCAAUAUAUUUUAAAAAAAAUAUACAAUAAUAAUUCGAUCCAUCCAACAGUUAAUUCUUCAAAAUUCACACAUGUAUAUUGUCACAAAGACUUAGAAGCAUUAAUGUUUAACUACAUACAUUAGAUCUUUCGUGAACAAUUUUACAAUGGAGAACAUUUUUUACAAUUUACAAAUAUUUACUAAAAAUCGUGAAUAUUUUUUAUAUUUCGAACGGGUUUAAAUAUUUUCUUUUGAAUUGGCGACCAAUUCAAGAAAAGACGAACAUAUUUUUUUAUGCUGGAGGAUUUUUUUAAAUUCACAAACAUUUUUUGAAACGCAUGAAUUUUUUCUGAAUAAACAAACAUUUUUAUAAAUCAGUAAUAUAUUUAUUAAAUUCAUGGACAUUGUUUUGGAAUUUGCAAAAAAUAUAUAAAAAUCCGGCGCUUUUUUUGAAUCCACAAACAUUUGAUGUUUUCGUCAGCAUUUUAAUUAAAAAUUCCUAUUUUUUAAUAUGCAAAAGUUUUUAUAAUUCUAAAUUAUUUAAAUUAGAAAUAAACAAAAAUGGAACGGAAAAUUUUAAAUAAAAAAAGAAACUAUCAAAACAGGCAUUAGCUAUUUUUAAAAUUUUAGGACAUUUUUUACAUGCAUUAAUAUAUUUUGAAUUAGAAAGCAUUUUGUUAAAUGCCUUCAAUAAUUUUUAAUACAUGGAAUUGUAUUUGAAAUCAUGGACUUUUCUUAUUGUACAAACAUUUUAUUGUAUAUGCGAGCAUUUUUUACAAAACUUCGAGCAGUUUUUGAAGUCACAAACACUUUAUUUUUCUAAUAUGUUGAUUUAUAUUUUUCAGUUUAUUAAAAUUUUAAAGAUUUUUUGAAGUUCUAAAUUAUUUAAAAUAGAAAAAUAAACGGAACUAAAAGCAGGCCCUGUGCAUGGGCCGGCCCAUACGGUUUGCUGGAUAUUCUCCCAGCUUGCAGAGCGUAAUAUAGGAGGUUUUUACAUGGGCCGGCCCAGUUCAAGAUUUUUGCUUUGUGAAACGUUUUCUAUUACUUACCGGUGGCAUGGUGGGUAAUUUAUGCAAACUUUAGGGGUAAUUUUCAUGACGGACGACCAGAAACCGUAUUUGCUUUAUUAUUAGGGAGAGAUUACGUACUAGGGCUUGACUUGACGGUGUUCUCAGUUUCUUCCGUGCUUUCUUUGGAUAGCGUAGUCAUGUAUAUUCUGCGCGAUCCGAUCAUCCUGAAAUUAGCUUUGUAAGAGGGCUAGUUAAAACACAAAGGGUUUAGGGUUUUGCGUAGGUGGUCUAUCCACCUCAUGUCUCCAUAUAUAUAUAUAGAUGAUCAGGAUCUUACAAUUACAUACGAGUCCCUGUAUGUACAAAUACAAUAUGAACUAGACCCUAUUUUACAUGCCCCCUCAAUCGGAACUACAUACAAGAUUCAGAUUGGUUCUAAAUCGGUCUAGCAUCUGUCGUGUAGCGGGUUUAGUAAAUACAUCCGUUAGCUGAUCAUCUGUUGAAAUGAACCUGACAUCCAAUGAGCCUGCAGCUACUCGUUCUCUCACAAAGUGGAAAUCAAUCUCAAUGUGUUUGGUCCGAGCAUGGAAUAGUGGAUUUGCCGUCAGGUAUGUAGCCCCUAAGUUAUCACACCACAAAAUGGGGGUGCGCUGCCGUGAAACUCCAAGUUCCCUGAGAACUGUGUCUAUCCAAAUGGCUUCAGUAGCUCCAUUGGCCAAUGCCUUAUACUCUGCCUCAGUGCUAGAUCUCGAGGCCGUAGGCUGUUUCUUAGAACUCCAAGAUAUAAGGUUAGGUCCAACAAAUAUAGAAAAAACAUCUGUGGAGCGUCUGUCAUCAACACAGCCUGCCCAAUCUACAUCUGUGAAUAUACUAACUCCAGUAAACUGUGAUUUGCGAAUUUGAAGCCCUGUGUUUAGUAUACCUUUCACAUACCUCAAAAUGCGCUUAACAGCUUCCCAAUGAAUCUCUGUAGGCUGAGACAGAAACUGGCACACUUUGUUCACGGCGAAGGAGAUAUCAGGACGAGUGAGUGUUAAGUACUGAAGAGCACCAACCACACUCCGAUACCUGAAAGAAUCAACAGAACCGAGAGGUGCACCAUUAUGGCGUGAUAAACUCUCGGACGUAGCCAGUGGAGUGGAGGUGGACUUGCAAUUCUCCAUGUUGACGCGAUGAAGAAGAUCCAGUGCAUACUUUAUUUGUGUCAGCAUCAUGCCCCCAGAAUGAAAGGACGCUUCCAAUCCAAGAAAGUACUCAAGUAGGCCCAUAUCCUUGAUGGGAAAGGUAUCCGAUAGGGCUUGCACAAGGCGAUCAACCACAGCAGGUGUUGAGCCAGCAAUCACAAUAUCAUCGACAUAAACCAACAUGAAAAUCUGAGUGGCACCAUGAGAGAAGAUGAACAAGGAUGUGUCUGCUUUGGAUGCAACAAAACCAAGCUGGGAAAGACGACAACUCAAACGAGCAUACCAGGCACGAGGCGACUGUUUGAGGCCAUAGAUAGAUCUCUGAAGUUUGCAAACAUGAGAUGGAUACCUGGCAUCCUCGAAACCAGACGGCUGCUGCAUGUAGACGUCUUCGGCAAGAAAACCGUGAAGGAAUGCAUUGCUCACAUCGAUCUGCCGCAGGCUCCAUCCUCGAGAUACCGCAAUGGAGAGCACGAGCCGAACCGUAGCGGGCUUGACUACAGGACUGAAUGUGUCACCAUAGUCAAUGUCGUGUUGUUGAGUGAAGCCACGGGCAACAAGACGAGCCUUGUGCUUGUCAACAGAGCCAUCCGGUCGAUGUUUAGUCUUGAAGAUCCAUUUGCAGCCAACAACGUUAACACCGGGGGGCGAGGCACGAGCACCCAGGUAUUGGUAUGGCGUAGGGCGGCAAACUCUUCAGACAUGGCAGCACGCCACGCAGGGGCACCAAGCGCCUCAUGAUGGGAGACAGGCGCAACAAAGAAGGCACACCGGCCGGUAUCAUACCGAAUGGUGCCAUCGGUGUAGGUCUUGGGCCGGCGCGUGUGAUCUCGGUUCCGAGUUACCAUGGCAUGCCCCAUGGUGACGUCGACAGGAGGGGUAGACGGCGCAGAUGUCCCUGCCGAAGGUGUCGCGGGUGAGGACGGCUCAGCAGAAGGCGAUACGGGCGGGAACAGAGUAGGGGCCAGCGCACGCGAAUCCAGAGUAGGCGCGUCAGAGAAUCCAGGCGACGGCUGUCGCGCACGGGAGAUGGCAGGCGCAGCCGACACCUCAGACACGUUGAAACGCGGGUCCAGGUGGGAAGCGGUGGCCUGCGGGGAAGCAGCCGACGCAGCAGCCUCGGGAGGCGUGGCAUGCACGUCGAUCGCCUGGGAGGAGGAAAUAGCCGCCUGUGGAGAAAACAGAGAAGCACCUGCAGGGGACUGGUUAGGCGAUAAAUAAGAUAAGUCAUAUUUGCGCAAAUGGACAUCCGACACCGGUUCAUCAUGAGGAAAGGUUAUGAGAUCUUUUAGAGAAGCGAUAUCAACGGAAACUCCGAGAUUGGAGUAAGGAAAAAUAGUCUCGUCGAAGACAACAUCGCGAGAAAUAUAGAUUCUACCGGAGGUGUGAUCAAGGCACUUGUAACCUUUGUGUAGGGGACUAUAUCCGAGGAACACACACAUCGUGGAGCGAAACGCAAGUUUGUGAGCAUUAUACUUGCGACGGCUAGGCCAACAAGCACACCCAAAGACCCGGAGAAAUGAGUAAUUAGGUUGAACAUGAAAUAGUCGAAACAGAGGCGUAUCCUUGUUGAGAACCGGAGUGGGCAUGCGAUUGAUAAGAUAACAAGCGGUGAGGAAAGCCUCAUCCCAAGACCGAAGUGGGAGGGAUGAGUGAGCCAGCAGAGCAAGGCCUGUUUCCACUAAAUGACGGUGCUUGCGCUCGGCAACACCGUUUUGCUGGGACGUGUGUGGACACGAGACACGGUGAUACACACCCGUGCGUUGAAAGUGACGGUGAAGUUUGUGGUAUUCACCACCCCAAUCGGACUGAACAGCCUUGAUCUUGCGAUCGAGAAGGCGUUCGACAUGAGCCUGAAAGAUAUAAAAGACUAGCUCAAUGUCAGAUUUGUGUUGAAGCAAGUAUAUCCAAGUGAAACGUGUGUAGUCAUCAACAAAGCUAACAUAAUACUUGUACCCGCCAGAGGAGGCAAUAGCAGGACCCCACACAUCGGAAUGUAUUAAUUCAAGUGGUACAGUAGUGACAUGAUAUGACACUGAAUAAGGAAGUUGAUGACUCUUAGCACGCUGACAGGCAUCAGAAACUAACGACACAUUAUGGGAACUAGAACACGGGAGGUCAUGAUCCCGGACAACUGACGUGACCACAUUAUUGGUAGGAUGACCAAGACGCUGAUGCCAUUGGGAGGACGACACUCCGACGCUAGAAGCAGCAUGGCGAGAUGAAGAGGACGCUCGAGCAAAUGGGAUGGGGUAGAUUCCCCCAUAACUUCUACCGUGAAGAAGAACGCGCCUGGUUGCCUUGUCCUUAACAAAGAAAAAACGACGGUGAAAUUCAAUAAACACGUCAUUAUCACAUAGGAGGCGAUAAACAGACAAGAGGUGUUGUGUGAUUUGUGGAACACGCAAGACAUUGCGGAGUUGAAGAGAUGAACCAGGUAUAUGGGAGUGACCAAUGUGCGAAAUAGACAAACCUGCGCCAUUAGCCACCUGGACUUGAUCCUUGCCGUCAUAGCGCUCAUGCACUUGGAGUCGCUCCAGAUCACUGGUUAGGUGAUCGGUGGCUCCGGUGUCGAGCACCCAGGGGAAGUCGGCAGCGCCCAUGGUAGCCGCAUUGGCGGAGCGAGUAUGGUGCUCGGUGUCAUAGUGUUUGCGACAAUCGCCGGCCUAAUGCCCCCAGUUCCGGCAAAGUUGGCACCGGGGACGCCAACGAGUGUUGUGACGACCACCCCCGCCGUUGCCGCCGCCAUUGCCCCCGCCACCCUGGCAGCCGGGGCCGGAGGCACCCGGUGGGCGAGCGCGACCAUCCGAGGAGCCGUCGGGACCGCCGUGGCGACUCUAUCCGGGCGGACCGUGUCCGUCAGUGGGCCGGCCACCGCCUUGGGACGGGUAGGGCUUGGAAUAUGGCAGGCGGCCACCUGCCCCCGAGCGAGUGACGGCGUUGGCCGACGGGCUCCAGCCCUCGGUGGCAUUCUGCUGCGCCUGCAAGGCUUCGAACAAGCGAGUAGAAGCUGGAAUAGGGCAUGGGUGCAGCGCUGACGCCUAGGGACGCGGCGAUGGAGUUCUAAGCGGAACCGAGGCCGGUGAGGAUGUGAUCGAUGAGCUCAUCAUCCCGGAUGGGCGAGCCGGCGGCGGCCAUGGUGUCAGCCAAGGCCUUCAUCUUGCGCAUAUACUCAGCCGCAGAGAGCUCCUCCUUGCGCAGCGUCUGGAGUUGACGCCGGAUGUGACGGACGUUGGCGCGGCUCUGGGAGCCAAACAUGGCACCGACGGCCGUCCAGACCGCUUGCGCCGACUCGCAACCGACGAGUUGGCAUGCGAUAUCCUCCUCCAUGGAAGUGAGGAAAAGCCCUUCACCUUCUGGUCGUUGGUCCACCAAAGAAGGUACGCAGGGUUGCCGGUGGUUGCCGCGGUGUCGCCCGUCCCGACGGCGACAAGCUUCGCCGGAGCCGCCUCGGUGCCAUCGAGGUAGCCAUGAAGGUUGGCUCCCGCGAGAACGGCGCUGGAGAUCCCCUUCCAGAGCAGGAAGUUGGUGCGGCCGAGACGGACGGAGAGGGCCGGGACGGAGACAGUAGCAUUGGCCGGCGAGACGAGGGCGCCGACGGUGGAGGGAAGCGACAGGGCGACAGAAGACAUCGCGGCUACGAAGCGUGGUAGGCGUAGCGGCGGCGGCGGCGUGAGGGUGGGAGCACGCGGCGGCGGCGGUGUAGAUGGGAUCGGGCGACGGCGCGGGGUGCAACGCGCGACGCCUGGUGGCUUAUCUGAUACCAAGUUAAAACACAAAGGGUUUAGGGUUUUGCGUAGGUGGUCUAUCCACCUCACGUCUCCAUAUAUAUAUAUAUAUAUAGAUGAUCAGGGUGUUACAAUUACAUACGAGUCCUUGUAUGUAUAAAUACAAUAUGAACUAGACCCUAUUUUACAGGGCUAUCUUAUCCUCUUCUAUCAUUCGAUAUAUAUAUAUAUAUAUAUCCUUUUCUAUCAUUCCAUGGUUUAUAGCUUUAGGUUGUCGCUUUUGUAUAUAUAAAUAAAAACGGAACAAAUGCAUGUUUCGAGAGAGCGCGUUGGGUUGCACCUCGCACAACCUCCCAAUAUGACCAGAGUCGAUUCACUGCUGGCUUGCUACCUACUCCCUCCGUCCUAAAAGUUUUUUCUUACAUUUGUCUAGAUAUGAAUGUAUCCAAUCAUGCUUUAGUAUUUAGAUACAUCUAUUUCUAUACAAAUCUAAGAUAAGAAUUUUGGGACGGAGAGGAAGUAUAUAUAUAAUGCUGGUAGGUUAUGCGCAUCUUUUUAUCGUGUGUAAAUAUGUAGCUACAAGCUAGCCUACAAGGGAACGACGCCGAUGGAUCAGAAAGUGAAGACGCGCAACAAUCUCACAAAACUCGUGCCACUCACACCGACGUACGGUGGUCGAAAGCGAGCCCUAAAUAACGAAACAGUUGGCUACGUUGCUGCCGCCGCCACUUUCUCCCGUGCGUAGCUUAGCUACCUCGUGCGCGAACCAACAGUUGCCCCCAUCCAUGUAAAUUAGUCGGCUCAAGGGCUCAAGGGAGUGCGACCAAUAACCUGCCACCGCUUCUACUCCCUUUUCCUUUUUUUUUUCGUUUUCAAGAAAUUGACCUUCCUUCCUGGGCUUGGCAAAAGACUUUCGCCCCGUUUUAUCUAUACCUAAUAAUAAAACGGUUAUCGUUUCCGUCGGAAAACCCACCGCGUUAUUUUUAUAAAAAAAGACCGUGUAAUUUUUGUUAUUCAACCCACGCUCCAUCUUUUAUCUGCAACGCAAAAAAAACGAUUCGCUGCAAAAAUUAUACCCGUACGCAUCGCCUCCUCCCGUCAACCCUGGGCCACCCUGGCCUGUGCCCAGGCCGCCGCCACACCACUCGGCGCCGCAGCCGACCUCAACCGCCACCGCUGCCGAUCUCAACCCACCCGCCUCCGCGGCCGUACCUCUCCCCGCUCACUGCCCCCGUUGCGGCGCUCGAGCGCAUCGCGUCGACCCUGGUCCACCCUGGCCUGUGCCCAGGCCGCUGCCACACCACUCGCCGCCGCGGCCGACCUCAACCACCAUUGUUGUCGAUCUCAACCCACCCGCCUCCGCGGCCGUACCUCUGCCCGCUUGCUGCCCCCGUUUCGGCGUUCGAGCACAGCUUCUGGAUCAAAUCAACGCGACAGCUACAGUGAGUGGUGAUGAUGCGUCUACUCGAUGCAGAACGGCGGCGGCGCGCGGAUAAGGCGCGGCGGAGCGAAGUACUUGGAGGUGGAGGCGGGCCUCCAUGGCUCACACAGGGAACUCCGUGGUUAUGGCGCGGCAACAGCGACUCCUUAUGGCCAGAUAGAGGCGUUUAACCCUUGCUCCCCUCGUCGUAUCCCCUCCUCCGGCAGGAACUCAUCAUCUGGUGAGAUCCCCUCCCCAUGCCUCCAACCGUGUGCCAAGCACGGGCAAGAAAUUUUGUUUUGUGGGGAUUUGUUUGCUCAUGAAUGAAUGUAUUGAAUGUAAGAUUGUAUUGUUGUAGAGACAGAGAAUGGAACACCACCUUCAGUUUGUCAUCUGAUCCCACAUUCUCUACCCCAUGAGUGAAAUAAGAUAGCAGUCCAUUGAUCAAUUCACGUAGCCUCUUUGUUUUGUUUUGCUUGUCCCGCUCAAUUUCUCAUCAUGGUGUAAUUAACAAUGGACGGGUUGAUUUCUCAACAAAAUAGGAUAGGACUGACUACAUUAGUUAGUUAGCUUAUUAUUUUAAUAAAUCAAAAUAAUUAUAAAAAUAUUAAAAACGUGUGGUAUUUUUUUCUCCCGUUGCAACGCACGGGCCCUUUUGCUAGUAUAUGUAAAACAAUGAUUAACGACGUUCCGAUACAAACGCCUGUCAACACAACACGCGGACAUACCCAAGACAUGAUACAUGGACGCUAAUCGAAGCAACACGAAAAGUUGCAUACGACGAACCGUGGGUUCCAAGGCGGCGUCUUCAGGAAGGAUAUGACACGGGAGCGCCGCCACCGCCCGAUCCGAGGAUCAGAGUUUCCCCUUGGGAAGCACGACGAGCGAUGAGAGCCCGUCAUCCAAGAACUUGACACCACCUCACCUGAGAUCCGCCACUACCCCAACCAAAGAGACGAGUGAAAAGGUCCCACAUUUUCCACCCCUAGGCAGCCCCAGCGCCAAGACCGAAAGGCUGGCCAAUACUAGCCUCCAUCGACGUGGCAUGCAGCACCGGACGCGAGACGAGCUCGGUCAUGCGACAACUAGUGCGAGACGAUGUCGGUCUUGCUACACCAUGCGCGAGACGAGCUCGGUCCUACACACCAUGCGCGAGACGAACUCGAUCCUGCCACACCGGGCGUGAGAAAGAAGAAGGACCACGGCUGGGAGCGGGCCAUCCGAGCUGAUCUGGUCGGCCGGCACCGCAGCCAGCAGCAACAGCCGGCACUCCACCGCCAGCCGCUCAAGAGCACGCCAGCACGGCCCCCGACCCACGCCAUGACCUCACCAGGACGCCGUCGCCACCCCACGCCGCCAACUGUCCAGGUGGCAAGAUCCGGGACGCCCCGCGCCCCCCCUCCACACCAAGCACGCUCCACCGACGAUCGUCGUAGCCCUCUACAUCGCCACAGCACCCGCCGCCGCGCCCCCGUACAACGGCUCCGGCCCGCACCAUCCAUGACACAGAAAGGAGAAGAGGCCCCGCCGCCACCCCCCGUCGACAGGGCUUUGCCCGUGACGGUGAACGGGAGCGAAGGGGAGCUAGGGAGGGGAGGCCCUGGGCCGACAGCGGCUAGGUAGCCCCCCCGGUCGCAUGCAGGGGCGACGCGAGGGGGGGGAGAUACUAUGUUUUUGGUCCUGAAAAGGAGUCCUUCCUAGACUUAAGGAACCAUUUACCAGUUUGCUCACGGCAUCCGAGGAAGCUUCGCCAUAGAGGCAAAGCCAGCUAAAUUUCUCAAUUAGGUCAUCUUCAUGUAUUAUAUGGGUUCAGCCCUAACUACACAUUAAUUAGCAUCAUUUCACUACAGGUUUUACAUAAAUUCAUUGGGUUCAACUGACCCAAACGCUAUAGUGCUAGCUCCUCCUCUACUCCACCAUAUACGGUUUCCUCGAGGAACUUGCGAGGUUUAUAUCUUCCCUCCUCUGUGUGGCCGGAAUUGGGAUUAUCUUAUCGUGCUCCUUGGUGGUGGCUUCUCCAGUAUGACGAUCUAUCCAACUCACACGAUCGUCGGGGUCCUCUGGCCUAUUACUAUCACUCACCAGCCGCUGAUUCACUCACGCUCAUGGGCUUCUAUAAUCCCCGACGAUUUCCUUCAAGCCAAGCCUCUGCCCCGCUCCUUGGGGAAGGCAUGUAUUGCGUUCUUCAAACGCCUACAUGAGAUGUAUGCCCGGUCCCCUCGUUCUCUCUUACUUCGGAGGUGGCGCAGUUGGCUGUGAUGAGAGCCGUGAAAUGGCCAUGGUUAAUGGUUUCAUUGGAGGAUUAGGCCGUGCAGUUUCUUUCAUGUUCUUUUCCCUUUUUGUCAAUGGCUUGCCCGCGUUCUCAGGGAUGCAUAUCUCUUUGUACUAGCUGCUCCAUCUGUUCACAAAUAUAAGAUGUUCUGAUGUUUUAGUGUAUUUGUUCAUUCAUUUCAAUCUGUAUGUGAUCUAUAUUAAAAUAUUUAAAACAUCUUAUAUUUAUGAACGGAGGGGGUACUAAUUAAUUUCCUCGACGAUAUUCAGAUAUGGGAUACCCUCCAGGUGUCCCUUCCCGAGGUCCUGACCAACACAAACCUUUGUAAGAAUGCAAAUGCAUGCAUGGCACACUGGAUGUAAGAAACUAUGGAUACAAUUAUCUCACAAGUUGAAAGUAAUUUUAAAGUACUCAAAAAAAUUUGAAGAAUGUGUUGUUAGUCAGUACACCCUCUGUUCCUAAAUGUACGACGUUUUGGCAAUUUAAAUUUAAACUGCUAAAACAUCUUACAUUAAUGAACAUAGGUACUAGUACUUGGUAGUGGGGGUUAGGUUUGAUUUUGCAGACUGAAAUUAGAAGUUGUUGUUAUUAGUCAGUACUUAGUAGCGUUGUUCGUCAAACAGAAGCUCCAAUAGGCCCAUGGUGGUGGGUGGGGAGCAAGAUAGAUACCUCCAAGGCUGGGUGCUAGCAAAGAGGAGCAGAUCACAUUUGCCAAAAAGCAAACUAAACAAAAUUAGGGGGAUAUUAGGAGGUGAUGGAGACUGAAGCUUAAUUAUGGAACAGUAGUUGCGGUCGUGGUAAUCCAUAUCUGCGCAGAGAUUUUGUGGCCAUUGUUUUAGUGUGUGUGUGUGCAUGGCUGCAUCAGAAGUAACAAAAAAGGGAGUGCAAGUGUGCAACACCAUACAAAUGGCCAAAUGGGUUGAAUGAUGUGGCUUUCCUUGUGUUCAUGCAUUUUCUUCCUCCUUCCUCUGAUCUUCUAGAUGAUGUUAUUACCAAGGGUGCUAGAAUAAGUAAACAAAUUGUAUAAGAAAGUUGGAGGAAAUUAAACUAUGCAGAUUGUUAUAUGCAACCCCCCUCCCCCCGGAAAAAUAAUAAAUAAAUAACAAAAGGACAACUUCAGAAAAGUGUAGGUAGUUAUCUGACCCCUUUUAUAAUAUAUUGUAGAGCUUCCAUAAAAUUAUCAUCUUUUAACACUAUAUUUGUUCUCUUUUUUUAUUUUGAUCAUUAAGUACAUGUAAGCAUGCACCAUCAGUCCAGUAGCUCUCCCACAAGAAAGAAAGUAGCAUUGUAUACUAAAUUAAUAACUUAUAGGUCAGCAAACCAAAUAUAUAUAUGGAAUGCACUGCACAAGGAGAUCCUCCAUUUCCCUUUUUCCUGUGAUUCAUAUGCUUCUUUUCAGGAAGGAGGCCCCAUGAGGAUCCUCUUGACUCUAGAAAAUACUAAUUUGGAAACACUUUAUAGGCGAUGCUUUCUAUGACAGAUCUCCCAAUUCUUCUAAUAGCCCCAUGAGCUUAUUUUUCAUGGGCUCCCCUGAAAACAAAACUGCACACAGCAGCAACUUUGCAAAUAAUUGGCUCAAAGUCGAAUCGAAGCAACGGUAUUAGUUCUUUCCAGGCAAGCAGGCAGGUACCUCUACCUGUCUUACUCUGACCAGUUACAUCUAUGCAGUACAGUUCUUGCUCUUAGUUGUUUCUUUAACAGAAGGUGUCAAAAUUUCUCAGGCAAGCAGUAAACAGAUUGUUUCUUACGAAAACACCAGCGGGGUGGGAGGUCUGGUUAGGUGUCACCUUGAUGGGAUUCCCUCUCCGCAAUAAUCUGCUUGACCUCUGUUCUUCCUUUUGUUCUCACAUGCUGCAAGGUUAAUGCCAGGCGAAAAGAAAACACAAAAGGCUUUGUCAUGAGCCCAUAGGCGAUAAAGAAUUCGACAAGGUGAUAGGGCUGCAUGACCUGUGAAGGUGAUGCCCAUUUUGGCUGCAAAUGCUUGUUGCAAUCAUUGCUCAGUCAUAGCUCCUUGUUUAGACUUUAGAGUCCAACCUGCAUUUGUUCUUCUUUGUUUGCCCUAGAGACUAGAAAGUAGUCUGACUAUCAGAGCACCCACUCUAGCUUGUUAGAUAGAGAAAAUUAUUUGUAGGAUGCAAGACUAACAAUAUCAUCCCAAUUUUCUGACAUGUAUUCUCACUUUUUCUUCUGUGUGAAUAAUUAUAAGUGAACAAAUAAUAGCGAAAAGAAGUUACCAUGCUUAUUUUCUCUUCUUGGGAAACCAUGCAUAAUUUUUUGUUCAUGUGGGAUCCUAUCCAACAGUAGAACCAUGAUUCAGAAUAAUAAAACUAUAUGCAACAAGAGAAAACAGAGUGGGCGUCCAUAUCUAGGCGGAACACACGUCAGAUAAAUUGGUUCCGCCCAGGAUCCUUCAGACUUGUUCCUAGAAAACAGGCAUCUCCCCUUGGCUUCUCAUGGGACUGAAUCUGAUCUUAUCAGCAAAUCUCAAUUAAGAAACACACUAAUCACAACUGCUAGUGCGUGCGAGCAAUAGUGGACAGCAAGUGUACUUCCAAAGCCAAAAUGUUAUCCCCCAGGAUGGGGGAUUCCAUUAGAUUUCCUUUCCUGGUGUCACCUGCUCUUCCAACAAGCACACAAACCAAUGGAACCCGAUCCGGGUGACGUUAACUGUAUCUUACUCCUGCCCCCACACUCCACUACGAGCACCGAUGAAGUUAGUUCCAAAUACAAAGCAGCUUCGUUUCGCUCACAGAAUAAUAAUAUGCUCACCUCCAUCUCUGAGAUGCUUCCCUGAUGCCGUGAUGCGUGCAGGUUUGGUCUUUUGGACCAUUCCAUUAUGUAUGUACUCACCCCCAGGACACGCGCGCCAAACUUGCUUGGCACAGCAAUACAAUACUUGGACGCCUUUCUUGGGACUUUUCGGCUACACGAUCAAGAGCAUGGUGUAAGUGUAAUGUAAUGGAAAAGAAAGUUUAGAGCGUGCACUGACCAAAAGCACAUUCUCUGCCAUACAAGAACCAGUAUCGUCUCAAAUCUCCGGCGAUGGCAAUAGGAUAAGUGGCAGAGUCAAACCCACCGAGUAACAUACUAGCUCAACCUUCCAGUACCCUGCAAAGUGAUAGAUUAAGCCUCAAUGAUGAGUGAUUAUACAAAGUGGUGCCGAAUUGUUUUCAAGUGGAAGACCCAAGACCAAGUGGAGGCUAUCUUAGGCUAUCAGCAAACACUCAGCACACUACAGGUGGUGAAGGCAUGAUCAGUCCAACAAGUGUGAAAGAGACUGGAGACAGUUACGUAUUACUUGUGCAAUGCAAGUUAUCUCACUACUCUGCCAUCCCUAAUAGAAUGGCUUCUAUUGAUAUAUGUGUAUUUUAAAUGUUUACGCGACAAUAUGAUGGACAUGUAUUUUUUUAAAAUUUACUCUCUCCGUUCCUAAAUAUAAGUCUUUUUAGAGGUUUCAUUUAGAAUGUAGAUUCACUCAUUUUGUUUCGUAUGUAGAAAACUACAUACGGAUGUAUAUAGACAUAAUUUAGAAUGUAGAUUCACUCGUUUUGUUUCGUAUGUAGUCCCCUAAUGAAAUCUCUAAAAAGACUUAUAUUUACGAACGGAGGGAGUAUUUAUUUUAGAAAAACAACAAUUUGGAUGAUAGUGUGAAGAUCCUAGCAAACCAAUGACCGAUUGCUGAAGAAGUGAAGGUGAAAUCUAAAAAGAAAGACAUACGUGGAAAUCAUUCAGUGCAAACUUGUGAAUUGUUGAAUAAAGAUCUUUUUUUUUAUCAACUGGCUUAAUAGUGUACAGUAAACUACAGGGAACAAGAAACAACUGAAUGAUGAGAUGAAAAACCAAAUUUUCUGUUCAUUCAGAAAAAGUAGGCAUCUAUUGCUAAAUCUAGACAGAAAUAGAAAUAUACCUGUUCUGCAGCUUGAUUGAUUGCUGCAAAACAGAUUUAGCCAGUUAGAAAGUCCAGAAUGGAGUAUUCAUCAUUCAGUACAAAUCGAAAACUUAGAUUGUGCAACUGGAGUGUGGACAAGAGAACUGUAUUUGUAGGGUCGAUGUGUAAGCAUCAGGAGAACUGCAUCCCAGAUGACCUCCUAGUACACUUGGAAGUCGUAAGUCAUAAAGAAGAACCACCAGUUAUUUGGGAAGUUGAAGAAGCAUGAUCCAAUUUCAAAAUUAAAGAACAUGGUGCAUAUGUAGAUUCACAAUCACAAACAAAAUGCAAGCUUUGCAGCUCAAACCACUUUCCUUAUGUGCCAGGACUAUUGCCACUUCCACAGACAUGCACUGCAAGAAGCUAAAACUGUUACACAUAGGUGGAACAAGUAAAUUAUUUGAGAAAGGGAAGUAAACUGGAACAGACACACAAAUAUAGAAAUGUAAUCAGGCCAAUAGGUUACUACCUACAUAACCAAAAAAUAGGUUACUGCCGAUUUUAUGGAGCACAAGAGCGGCAACAUGUAGACUGGACUUGUGAUAAACUAUCUUACUCUAUAAGGAUUUACAUCUACUCCCUCCGUUCCUAAAUAUAAGUCUUUUUAGAGAUUUCAUUAGGGAACUACAUACAAAACAAAAUUAGUGAAUCUACACUCUAAAGUAUGUCUAGAUACAUCCGUAUGUAGUCCUCUAGUGAAACCUCUAAAAAGACUUGUAUUUAGGAACGGAGGGAGUAGAUGAUAAUUCAAAUCUUAAUUUUCGACUCCCUCCAUUAAAAAACAAGUGUCGUGGUUGACACUUAUUUUGGAACGGAUGGAGUAUAUGCUAUCUCAGAGAAAAAAAAAUGUUUCAAUGCUGGCAUACAGUCUGCCACUCAAAUACAUAGUAGUAUGUUCCAAUAGCAACACAUUUGAGACAGAACACAGAAGAGCAGUUUCUUGCCUUCAACUGGAAGCAGAAAAUUACACGCUGAACCACUUGCAUUCAGAUGAUUUUGAAUCAUGUUACAAGCUACAUGUUCAUUCCAACUGAAAAAGAAAUGAUUCAUUGGUAUCUAUGAAAGAGGAUACAGUGAGAGUACAACAGGGUGACUGACCAGUCAGUUUCUGAUUGUGAAGUAUCUCAGCCCAACAGUGUAAUGUAAACAAAAAAAAAAGCUGAUCUUACAUUGCUUCUCAGUAAAGAAGGGCCUCAACAAAAUCAAAGUUUCAACCCAACAUUGAUCCCACAACAAAGAAGUGCAUACCAAAAACUCGUGCCGUCCUCUCAAAACUCCAGCCAUCCGGCGUGGAAUCUGGCUAAAUACAACUCCAUCGGAACCAAUCACUCAGCAAGCGAUCUAAGAGGCGUGGCCGGUCACAAGACGAACAGCCAUCCACGUUUGUAGCCCACGAGCGCACCCACGGUCACCGCCGACCACACCGCCACAACCCAACGGGCUGCAAGCAAUGCCGCCUCCUUCAUGGCGACCGACCACCCGACAAGCCAGUCCAGCCCCUCCACGCCCUCAAAGAAGUCCUUCCCUUGCACCCACCACAGUGCGAGCAACGAGAGCACGAGCAGCGGUGGCGCGACGAACUGUGUGGCCGCGGCGCAGAGAUGAUGGUUGUGCAGGAACACCUUCGCGCGACCAUACUCUGUGUCCGGUGCGCGGUUGGCGUGCAGGCGCUGGUACCAGCAGAAGACGGCCUCGUUGAGGUACAUCUGCACGGCGGCCCUGGAUGCCAGCAGCUGCAGGCCGGCCGCGGCGGCCAGCAGCUUGACCUCCAGCUCGGGACCGUCAACGAACCCGCAGCACUGCAGGAUGGAGGCGGCGGAGGAGACGAGGACGGCGAGGUGAAGGAGGAGGCGCGCGGGGGCGGAGGAUNNNNNNNNNNNNNNNNNNNNNNNNNNNNNNNNNNNNNNNNNNNNNNNNNNNNNNNNNNNNNNNNNNNNNNNNNNNNNNNNNNNNNNNNNNNNNNNNNNNNNNNNNNNNNNNNNNNNNNNNNNNNNNNNNNNNNNNNNNNNNNNNNNNNNNNNNNNNNNNNNNNNNNNNNNNNNNNNNNNNNNNNNNNNNNNNNNNNNNNNNNNNNNNNNNNNNNNNNNNNNNNNNNNNNNNNNNNNNNNNNNNNNNNNNNNNNNNNNNNNNNNNNNNNNNNNNNNNNNNNNNNNNNNNNNNNNNNNGGCGAGCGAGGCGACGAGGUGCGCCGGGCGCGGCGGCGAGGCGAGCGCGACCUGGCGGAGGAGCGCGACGAAGAGGAAGGCGAGCGGGAGGAGCGGCGCGAGCGGGGCGGCCGGGGAGCGGGGCGGCGGGAGGAGGAGCGCCGGGGGCAGGAGCGCGAGCGGGAGGAGCAGGGAGAGGUGGAAGCCGGCGAAGUGCGGGCGGGAGGCGAGCGUGGCGUGGGAGAGGCGCAGGCGGUAGAGCUGCGCCGAGCCGUCGGAGGCCGGGGCGGCCCCGCCCCCGCGCUUGCCGGAGGGCGCGGCGGAGCCCGGCGGGCGGAGGACGGCGCGCGGCCCCGUGGAGGGGACGGCGUCCGGGUGGAUGUAGGUGUGGACGGCGUAGAGGAGGAGGGACGGGACGUGGAGGAAGUGGGCGGCGGCCGCGAGGGCCAGCGACGCCGCGACCUGCGGCGCGUACGGCGGGACGGGGAAGGANNGGAGGUCGUCGACGGCCAUCGCNNNNNNNNNNNNNNNNNNNNNNNNNNNNNNNNNNNNNNNNNNNNNNNNNNNNNNNNNNNNNNNNNNNNNNNNNNNNNNNNNNNNNNNNNNNNNNNNNNNNNNNNNNNNNNNNNNNNNNNNNNNNNNNNNNNNNNNNNNNNNNNNNNNNNNNNNNNNNNNNNNNNNNNNNNNNNNNNNNNNNNNNNNNNNNNNNNNNNNNNNAGGGAGGGUGGGUGGAUCGAUCGGCGCAGUGGAGAUCUGGGUGGGUGGGGAGUGUGACGGAGUUACCAGAGACCAGGGGAGGACUGAGUUGUAAAUGGGCCGGGCUCUACGGGCCUAGAUCUGGGCUCGUUUUGGACGCUAGCUUGGCCCAUGUGCUGAGCAUUCGAACUUUAUUAGUAGAUUCUCAAAAGAAUAGUGGUCAUUAACUUUUUAUACUCUACAUAAAAACUUGAAGAGCUUCUUUUUGAAAAGGAAAAUUAUGUGUUUGAUGACAAGGAUCCUGAUUUUUUCUUUAUGAACGAAUUCUCGCAUCCUUGAAACUAAGAUCACACUACAUGCUAAAUCAGACAUCGCUCUGUAAAACCAGGCUGCGCUACCAAAAACAGUUUCAGGCAGCACAUUUUGUUCCAACUGAAAAGGUAGCUAUCCCACACAAAUUUGCAAAUCGGAGCAAAUAUGGCGGCACGACAAGCGGUUCAAGAGAUCCAACCAAAGAGCAGAGGGGCGGCGGGAUGGAUAAACAGAAUCGUCAUCAUUAUUAUUAUUGUGUAUAUAAUACAAUUUGCAUACACUAAUCACAGCGUGCCUCCUCGGAAGUGUCUUCGGAGGACGGACGAGUAGCAAAAUCUCACAGCAGGUUCUUUAUUCCAGUCAUGGCAACAAAAUGAAUAGAGGUUCUCAACCGAAUAAUGAUACAUUGUGAGCGGAUCUUAAAUUAUCUUCGGGGCAGGGCUCACUCGCCGCUCAGGAUGGGGUUGAUCAAAGGCUUCAUCUGCGCGAGGUACACGAUUGCCCACCUGCAGAGAAAGAUUAAUGAAUUGUGAACAAAGAAGAGAUGAGACAAGCAGCAUGUAAUAACCAUACCAAGAAGAGGCUCGUGAAUGCAAGGAUGAGCUCAGUCAAUUCUUAUGAAUAUACGAAAAUUUGCAACAGGAAAGUUAAGAGAAGUAGGAAAAACUGGUGUGCACAGAAAAUAAUGGCACCACAAGUAAGAAAAGUAAGAUUUGAGUCACUUCUUUCUUCAGGUUCCAAGAACUAUUUGUGCUCUAAUUUUGUAGCAAAAAUUAGGAAAACAGCGGCAGGAAUGAUUCUAAUAAGCAAGCUGCAUGGGUAAGAGAAUUCUCAUGACUAAUUUUAAUCAGAAAAAAUCUUAGAACCAAAACCUUCAAACUAAUUAGUACGAAAUAUAUUGCACGACAAAGAAAAAUACAAUUUUCACAAGGCUUAAAUACUGGGUUUGGAUUCCCAGGUAGCCUAUCAAACUAAUUGGAACACAGGCGUCUAAUUUAGUGUAUUGUGCCUGGAGGAUCACAGAAGUAACAGUAUUGACUUUUACGGAAACAAAAAAAAAGGUACAUAACCUCUUUCAAUUGAUCAAAUUAUAUACUCUGGGUGCUGAACUAGAAAUAUUCUGGUUUAUCCUAUGUGAAUUAACAUUGAACAGCACGCAUAUGCAUAUUACAAGAACAAGUUGAGUGAAAUAUGUAUGGGCGAGUUGAGCUACAAAUCAAGGAAAUAAAGCCAUAAGUUUGCAUUUUGCCACUUCAUAGCGCCUAUCCAAUCAUGAUUAAGUGCUAGGCAUGCUGUUGUCAUGCAACACCUAGGCACACUUCAGCGCAGGCCUAGGCGAGCUUUUUCUUUUUACACUGCUACAAAUAAUACCAUUCGUUGUAUACCAGAUAUAUUGGUCAUCAUUUAUAUUGGCCCAAAUCUGACAGACAUCUUGGUGUUAUAUUAUGCCUGGAUGGAGGGUCACAGAACUAACAUUUGAUUUCUACGGAAACCAAAAAAAAUCAGUAGAUAACCCCUUUCACUUGAUCAAGUUAUUUACUCUGAGUACCAAACUAGAAAUAUUAUGGCUUAUGCUACAUAUAUCAAAUGUGAACUAACAUUGAACAACAUGCAUAUUAGAUAUUACAAGAACAAGUUGAGAGAAAUAUGUACGUAUGAGUUGUACUACAAAUCAAGGAAAAAAGAAGCACCAAGUGUGUGUUUUGCCACUUCAUAGCGCAUAUCUCGUGUACGUGCAUGGCUAGGAACACAUAGGCACAAGCCAAACAUGAUUAAGCGCUAGGCAUUCCGUGGUCGCCCAGCUCCUAGGCAAAUCUAGGCAAUCUUUUAUUGCACUGCUAUAAAUAAUACCAUUUGUUGUAUACCAGAUUUAUUGAUCAUUAUUUAUAUUGGACAACUGACAGACAUCUUGGCACUAAAAGAAUAACUGACAGACAUCUUGGCACUAAAAGAAUAACUAGUGCAAGCCAACAGAUACUUUAUGCCACAUGAUGUCAAGUAGAGUGCAAGUUAAAUGGCCACAAAUUUUCAUGUCACAAUUGCACGUCUGUAACAUAAAUUUUGAUAUGAGCAUUAUUUUUUUAAAUGAUAUGAGCAGGACGUCAACAGUUGAUGGGGGCAAUCUUAGUGUAAGAAGAAAGGAGAAACCAAAUGUGCGUGUGGGUAAAAUGGAUCAGAACUUACAUCAUCCAACAACAAACUGUAGCGGUAAUAACCAGAGUCAAAUGGAAUCUGCAUAGCAAGAGCGAAGACCAUUAGCUAACAGGCUAUACAAAAUUAAUGGAUGCAUAUAAAUGAGUGCAGAGGUAGACGCAUCAGAGAAUGUAACAGUGAGCCCAAGGUUUUCCAGGCAUGCACAGAUUCGUCUUUGCCCAACAAUAAUUGACUUAAAUUGAAGAAUGCAUCGACGCAUAGUGCAAACCAUAUAAAAUCGUUGCUAUGUAGCAUGUCUACUCGGUUGGUGUCAAUUUAUAUGCAAUUAACCAGCACUAACUUAGGCGAACUUGCUGUAUGUGCAGAAGCAGCACAACAUUGCAAAGCUGCUAUUUUCCCCCAAUUGUGUCUGAAUUCGUCUUGCAGAGGCUCUACUAGACCCAAACCCGGCAAUGGCUCGAAGCAUUGGACAGGAUUUUCAGCGCAUAGCUGCGGCUUCCACAUAGCCCACAGCACCAACCCAACGAUCCAGCCACUCUACCAAGAGCCCGGCCGGAGAUCACGCGACGCCGAGCAGGCAUCCACCGGCCCGCGGAUCUCAGGCGGGCAAGCUCUACCAGACCUGACGGCCCAGCCUAACCCUAGAUCGAGCCCGCUCUCCAUCGCGCGCCGCGAUCCGGCGGGAAGGGGAGGGGAGGGCCGGUCGAACCCCGCCUCCGCCAGAUCCGAAGCCCCCGGCGCCAUCCAGGGACUUGAACGGCGGCGAGACGGACCGGAUGGAGCGGGAUCGGAGGAGGAAGGGGGGGGGGGGGGGGNNNNNNNNNNNNNNNNNNNNNNNNNNNNNNNNNNNNNNNNNNNNNNNNNNNNNNNNNNNNNNNNNNNNNNNNNNNNNNNNNNNNNNNNNNNNNNNNNNNNNNNNNNNNNNNNNNNNNNNNNNNNNNNNNNNNNNNNNNNNNNNNNNNNNNNNNNNNNNNNNNNNNNNNNNNNNGGGGGGGGGGGGGGGGAGAGAGAGGGUUUGACGUACAUGUUGGUGGAGGCGCCGCGGUUGCAGCAGAGGAGCGAGAACAUGCAGGCGAUGAAGCCGGCCAAGAAGAAGAUGGCGGAGGUCACCAGGAACCCCAUCGCCGGAUCGGUCGCCGGGUCGGUCUCGUCGGGGUUGGAGGAGGAGGAGGAGACGAGGGGAAGGAGGAGCAGGCGGUGGUGGUGGUGGUGGUGAUGGGGUUGCCACGUGACGUGCGCGCUCGUCGUGGACGCGGAUCGGAUCUGGACUGCAGGCGGGCCGCGGACCGCUGCGAGUAGACCACAUACUGGCCAAACGGGUGGCCCGGCCCGGCCCGGCCCCGGCACGAGCACGGCCUGCAUAGGCAAUUAGUAAUCGGGUCGUGCUCUGCCAGGUCCAGCCAUGAUCCGUUACUAAACGGCAUGUUGACAUGUUUAGUAUAUUGAGUCGUACUCCGUCCGUUCCUAAAUAUAAUUCUUUCUAAGAGUUUCAUUAAUGAACUACAUAUGGAUGUAUAUUUUAGGGUAUAGAUUCAUUUAUUUUGUUCCGUAUAUAGACACCUAUUAAAAUAUCUUAAAAGAUUUAUAUUUAGGUACGGAGGGAGUAUGUUUUUAGGCUCGUGGCCUCAUUUUUAGGGCUAUUGAAUUGUAUAUUAUGUGUAUGUAUAUUUAAAAAAUUGAAAAUAUAUAUAAAAAAUAAACGGACCGUGUUGUGCUGGUCCGCAUACCCACCCUUCAGGCCCGGUCUGUUUAAGUCGUGUCGUGCCUCGCCCAUGACGGGUCGUGCCGGCGUGGCCGCAUGUCGGUCUGUUUGACCCGGCCCGUUUGGCCAGAUAUACUGCGAGAGGUGGGCAUCCCACAUCGACGGCCCACUUAGCUUGAUCUUUCGAACAAUUUUUUCCACGGCCUUGUGCUAUCCUAAUUUAAGAAGCACCGAUCACAACAAAACAGCAUGCGCUAACAUGAUGUCUGCUGAGUAAGCGUCCGAGUCAGGAACAUGAGUAUCGACAAAGUUAGCAACACCUCUCCCCGCUAAAGGAAUAAUCUGCCUUAAACGAGACACGUCCCUCAAGCAUCCUCAAUUUUCCUUGUGUUAAUUUACACACGUCGGCCCACGGCGCUAUGGAUAGUUACAUGCAACUCAAAAACCGGAUUGGGUCGCCACGAUGUGGAAGCGCGGAUUGGAAAAAUCACCCUUGUAACCCACAACCCAACCAAAUUAAACUAACAUGACAUCUACUCGGUUUCUUUGAAUUGCAAUAUGCUACUACCAAAGCCACCGGCUUAAAAGGAAAGAAUGCAACAAAAUAGAAAGAUGAUUGUUUGUAGGCAGGAUAUGUUUGAUUCAGACAAAGUAGAUUUGCUUAUGAAUCUUUCUGUCGAGUUUGGCCCAACUUACUGGAUUAAAGUUCAUGGCAUUUGAUUCCGCUAUUCUAGUUUACACACGAUUUCUAGGGAAAAAAUAUAUAUAUCCCUACUUACUCUACAUGCAAUUUGAGAGAGAGAGAGCUAACUAGUCCAUGCCAUCACUAAUUAUUGGCGGUGUGGGGUCGAUUCAUCACCUAGGUGGUUUCUGGCAUGUCGCCGCUAGACUUUUUUCUAUUCACAAAGAUAUCAGAAGGGACAUGUACUGGUCUUAUCGUAAUCGUUGAAAAUUUUGGCUCGUUGUAUAAGAAAACGAUUUCAAACGGAGUGCUUUGUACUGUGUCACGAAAGCGUCAAUGCGGUGACCGACAUUAUGUUAUAGCUGCAUUGCACAACAAUUUCUGGAAAGCUAUCCUAGAAGAUGGGUUUUGUCUAAAAAAAAUCAUAAAAUUGCCUUCAUGACAUGCACCUUCAAUAUAGAUGUGGGUUGUGCACUAUUAUCUUUUGAAUUUGUUCAAUUAAUUUCUUAACUAGGGGCAGGUAUGAUGGGGCCAUUUUUUGUUCCAUUCAAUUCAAUCCUACUCAUCUAGUAAAUCUAGGGGCAGGUAUGAUGGGGUCAUUUAAUAGAAUUUGCUUCAUUCAAUUCAAUCCUACUCAUUUUUUGUUGUAAAUCAUAAUUUGCUUGUGGAAUUGUUUUGAAACAGGUUACAUUUUAGUGGCAUUGCACAAAAGGACAAAACAUUGGUUCCUCCAACAUGCACCUCUCUAAUGUGCAUAUUUUGUGCACAUCAUAGAAUACUUACAAGGAUAUCUACUGGAAAAGCGAGAUGAGUAGAAUCAUCACAUCAAAACAUACUUAUCUUUUCGUUUUCAGUACUCUAUGCUUCAUAUGUUGGUUGUGAAGUGUGCAAAAUGUACAUUUGGGAUUUGAAUUUUUGACAUCCUCAUGUUAUCUGAGACUCGCCCCCGUAAAUGGAUAAUGUAUGCUUGCAUAUUGUAUUUUUGAUUUUGUGAAAUUUAAUUACAGGGUUGGUUAUUAACCAAAAACAUGCCUAGUCCUAAAAAGAAGAAAUGGAUCACUAUUGCAAAGAGGAAAACGCCUUGACUGAUAACAUGGUACAACCAAAGAUCUAAUUAAGACACGUACUAACGCAAUGGAACAAUUCGGAGGAACCGAAAUCACAUAAGUUAUUACUAGCAAAAGGACCCGUACGUUGCAACGGGAGAAAAACAAUUAUAAUCUCCAAUGGUGCUGAUCAUAUUAUGUCUUUAAAAUUUUAGGACAUUUCUUAAAAUGCAUGAACAUUUUUUGAAUUAGCAAAAAUUUUUUUUGCAAUUGCACUCAAAAAAUAACACACAAUUGUUUUUUCAAAAUCAUGGACUUUUAUUGUUUUCAUCAACAUUGUUGUCAAAAUUAUGAACAUUUUUCUGAAUAUGCGAAAAAUUUUACAAAAAUCCUGAGCAUUUUUUGAAUUCACAAACAUUUUAUAUUUUAUUCACACUUUUAUUUCAAAAUUCCAAGUUUUAUAAAUUGCAAAAGUUUUUCAAAGUUCUAAAUUAUUUAAAAUAAAAAAUGGAACAGAAAAAUAAAAAUAAAAAUGAGACUAAAAACAGAGGCACGAACUGUUUUUAAGAUUUUUACACGGACUUUUGUUUAAAAUCGUUGACUAUUUUAUUUUAUGGACAUUUUCUCAAAGUUUAAACAUUUUUUAUAUGCAAACAUUUUUCUAAACUCCUUAGUAGUUUUUGAAUUCUCAAAUAAAUAUGUUUUUUUGGAUAUUUUAUUUCGAAAUUCUCAGUUUCUUAAAAUUAAGAAAAGUUGUUUGAAGUUCUAAAUUAUUUAAAGUAGAAAAGCAAAAUGGAACUGAAAAUAAAAAUAAAAAACUAAACAAAAAACAGGCGCCCACGCAUGGGCCGGUCCAAACAGGCGUGUUGCAUAUUUUUCCAACGCCCAGAGCGUAAUAUAGGAGGUGCCUACAUGGACCGGUCCAGUCCAGAGAUUUUCCUGUUUGAAACGUUUUUUUAUGAGUUAUAUGUGGCAUUUGUGAAGAAUUUUAGUCAACUUUAAGGAUAAUUUGGAUGACGUACGGAAGAAGCACUAUUUGCUUUAUUAGUAGGUAAGGUAAGAUUUUGUUUCGUAUGUAAUCCCUUAUUAAAACCAAUAAAAUGACUCGUAUUAGGAAAUAAGACACAAACUACUGACCGCAUAUGGAACAAUGUCUAGGGUUUUUCUCCAUUUUCAUCCGGCGACGGCGAGGAAAUCCCGGUGACGCUAGAGUCCGGUCCGCUACGCCUUUGAGGACUAGGGUUUUCACCUGGCUCCUUCCAAUGCUUUCUGCCAUAUUUGUGCGUAGAACCAUUUCCCUGACCUGCAAGAUAAAUUCUCGAGGAUAGAUACAAGGAGAAGUUACGAAGACAUGGAAAUUAAGCUAGUAGCUAGUUCUGACCCGUCACGUCUACACGUAUGUAGUCCUAAAAUUGCCGGAGAAAUAACAAGCAAAAUAAAGUCUCGCACCCCUUUCCGAACGAAUUCCACGAGAGUUCCCGGUUCGAUUUAAAUAUCCCGUACUUUUGUUACAAAAACUGACCUGGACUCGACCUGCUUCUUCCUUCCAAGUGGGCAGCGCGAAGGCGCCCAGAAAGCCUGUGUGUGCGUGUGCUACGUCUGUCCGAAAGCAAUAGGCUUCGCUCCUUCCUUGGUUCGCGCCAACCUUCUCUGCGGUUUCCCGCGCUCCAUGCCAGAAGCUGCCUCCUCGUCCAGAUCGAGGAACCCUUCAAACCCUCCCAUGGGUAUAAACCGGCGGGCGAGGGCGACCACCCCAGCCCCAUUCGCCACCGCACCGUACGCCGCCGGCCGAGGGAGACCAGCUAUCUGUCUGUCUGCCGCCCGCGAGCUAAGCUAGCUGGAGAGAGAGCGCGCGCUCGCGAUGCCGUCGUCCAGGCUCGUGCGCAAGGACGGCGAGUGGGGCGGCGGCGGGGUCGCGCUGGAGGUCACCGUGCUGUCGGCCGAGUCGCUGCGCCUGCCGCCCACCUACUCCCCGCUCCCGCGCCGCCUGCGGCCCUACGUGGCGGUGUCCUCCUCCUCCUCGUCCUCCUCCGCCGGCUGCAGCACGGGCGUGGCGCGCGCGUCGUCGGGCGCCGGGGAGCACUCGUGGGAGGACGCGCGCCUGGUGGUGCCCGUGGGCGCGGGGUUUCUGGAGGGCCGCGACGACGUGCGCGUGGCGGUGAUCUCGGAGUCGGGCUGCGCGCGGCUCGUCGGCGACACGCCGCUCGGCUGGUGCCGCGUGCCGGCCGCCGACGUGCUCGACGGCCUCCGCCCGCCGCGCUCGCUCCGCAGGCUCAGCUACACGCUCCGCUGCCCGCGCCGCGGCGGCCCCGGACACGGCGUCGUCCACCUCGCCGUGCGCGUCCUCGGCGACGUCCACGUCGCCCGCCCAGACCCGGCCCCGCCCGCGCAGCCCGGCUGGUGCCGCGUCGCCAUGGGCAUCCCGGUCUCCGGCGCCUCCGCCGCGGCCGUCGUCGGCACGCCGUCGCCGUGGGCGUGGAGCCAGGCGUCGCGAUGACUGCUCGCGACUAGCCGUGGAAGAACGGUGGAACUUGCGCGCGCGGGCGCGGCGACCGGUUCUUGGGUUUGACUAAUCACUGCCCGGAGGCCGGAGCACGCACGUACGUACGUAGCCGCCGGACGCGGAGACGAAAGCGACGGCUGAUUAGUCAAAGCUCAAAGCUAGCUGCCGGGCUGAUUCCUCGCAGCUGCGCACGGACGUACGUGACAGUGUCUGAUUGGACGCGCUCCGCUGCCGGCUGGCCGGCCGUCGGCGGCGGCGGUGCUUGACCCCGACGAGUGGAAUACGGCCGAACGUGCCGGUGUACAUAUAUACACACGUCAUCGUCUAGGGAAGGUUCCUUGCUAGUGAUGGAGGUUAUGUGUGAGGGCAUGCGCAUCUCUGUCGUUCCAAGUGUAAAUUCAGUUGUUCAAAAAAAAAGUGUAAAUUCAGUAAAUACUGGAGUAUGUACAAAGGCUGAAGUGAAGUUUUUAGUGCGAACUAGACAACUUUGGAUGCAACUUUUAUUUUAGUGGAUUAGUUGCUCUCCUUUGAUCCGAACAUGUGAGACGGCGGUGGAUCUAGCUACCGUCCCUCUUCAGCCUUCCCGGCUACAAACCCAGUGACGGAGUGAGGGCAUAUUCUUCAAAAAGUCAAAUAAUUUAAACAUAUUUUCAAAAAACACAAGCAUAUAUUACUACAAUUUUGAAGUCACCUCAACGUAGGCCCACUCCUUUACAAACCUUACACGCCAGUGAGACUUAUGCUAUGAGUAACUUUACACUUUAUCAAAAUGUUAAUGGUCAAUUUAGAAUACAUUUCUUAAUACCAUGGUCAAAAUGGGCUCUUGCUUCAAUUGUCCCUUUCGAAUUGAUCUUUUUUAGACCCUUUCGAACUGAUGUUCUCGUAUCUCCUGCUCCCAGGUCAUGUAUCGCUAUUGGGCCCCCCUCGCCAUGAAUCUUAUCUAGGCAUUGAUAGAGUCCUAGGUCCACCACGGUUGAAAACUCAUAGACAAGUAAAGUUUCUGUCUUUUACGCCACCAAGGAGCUGACUACUUGAUCAAUGCCAGGAUCUAAAGUUAUCCGCACCCCUCAACUUGUAGUUGUAGAUUCUAUUUGGCCUUGCUUCCUUGGAUAACGCCUGAUACCGUUGAGGGCAUCCAUUGGACAUGGACUAGCAAUGUGGAGUACCCGUUCAAAGACAACACAUGUUGGCUAUGAGGUGAUGUGCCAUGGAAUCUCUUGUAUGUUUUGCCUACAUGCUCCCGAUACUGCGAUCGGAAUGUGACCACAUGUACCUAUGGACUCGGCUCACACAUCUCACUUAUCGACCGCCACACUUAUAAAACACAUGGAAUACCAUGAUGCUCUGAGUGAGAUUUUCCAUGAAGUGUCGGUCCAAUGGUUAAAGCUUUUGGAAGGAAUGGUAGAGGUACAACCUUCAUGACACAAUGCCUAACUUAUGUGAAGGGAGCCAUUCAUGGCCUUCAUAUACCUAAAAUCUAGAAAUAUUUCAUUUUACAACCCUCAUUAUGAAUAAACGGGUUUUGGCUUAUUUUACUCCGCUUUUUGUGAUAAUCAUUUGUGACAUUUCACAUAUUUCCUCUCAUAUCACCACAUCAUAUCGUUUCUCUCUCUUCAAAACUAAUACUAAACCAUCAAGUUUCUAUCAAACCUUAUUUAUUUUAGGCUUCAACUAAAAUGCCACAAGAUUCAACAUGAUUUCACCGCCAAAAAAUAUAUUAUUGUAGGAUUUUUAGACCCAAAAAUUGAAAUUGAAUUUUUAAGAAAAGAUUGAGAAACACUUGUGCUUGUAAAUUUAGGCCUAGGGUUAGUUUUUUUAACGAUGGGCUUAAGGUUAGAUGGGCUGGAACCCUUUCGCCAUAGAGGUCAACAUUUGUGGAGCAAACUCUCACCCUCAGCGGACUGGCACGUGAAUAUAUGCGCCAGCCCAAGUAUAUUUUUCACGGAGAUUCCCUUUCCGGUUUGAAGAAAUUCUUUGUUAUGACUGUUUUCAUAUUUUUUUGUUGGUGUUUUUGUUUUUAUAUUAUUAUAUUAAUUGGAUUUUAUUUUUCUUUUCUUUCUAAUUUUUCAUACUUUUCAAAAUUUCUGAAUAUUUUUUGAAACCUAGGAACAAUAUUAAAAUAGGUGAAUUAAAAUAGGUGAACACUUUUUAAAAUUUACAAUAUUUUUCAAAUCAUUAUAUUUUGGGAUUCCGUAACAUUUUCUUUAAAUUAAGGAUUUUUUUUCAAAUUUAUGAUCUUUUGAAAAAUUUAUGUUUGCUUGUACAAAUUUGUGAAUAGUUUUAAAAUCCAAGUUUUUUUUUCAAAAUUAUGAUUUUGUUUUCAAAGCCCAGAUCAUUUGCUUGAUCCUGUAUAUUUUUCUAUUGUUAGAACAUUUUUUGCAAAUAUGCAAAAAAAUUCUUAAAUUGGAAAUCAUUUCCAAAUUCCUGGGGAUUUAUUUUAAUGAAAAACCUUUCAAAACCUUGAUUUAAUUUUGUAAACAUUUAGUCAAAUUCAUGAAAAAAUUUAAAAAUAGAUUUUUAAAAAGAAUUAGUACUUUAAUUUUUUUAUGAACAUCUGGUUCCAACUUAGUGUGUGGGCGAGAAUGGAAACGUAUCUGGUGCACCGGACCAAUUGGUACCACCGGGGCAUCGGACUCCGUUGCACAUUCAAAAAUGUUUCAAAAAAACUCAGAAACAAUUUAGUGCAUUGACACAACAUUGAUGUAUGUCACAAAAAUUCAAGUCAAAAUACAAAACAUUGUUCAGCAUACGAAAACAAAAUUUACAUCAAUGUGUUAAUGGGUCAAAACUGAGGCCCAACUUGUGUUAUGUACUAUUCAGUGGCAAAUUUGUUAUUUUUGUAUGUCGAGCAAUGUUUCAAAUUUUGAUUUGAUUUUUUGUAAAAGCAAACAUUAAUAUUGUACCAAUACACUAAUUUUGUUCCGGAUUUUUGAAACGUUUUUGAAUGUGCAACGGGGGACGAGUGCACCAGUAACACCACUUUCUCUGGUGUACCAGAUACAUCCCCCAGGGGAGCAUGGGUGUGUGUUAGCUCGAUUCCCCGCAUUGGUAGGGGAAUAGGACCUCCCUUAGGCCUUGCUUUGUUAAGGGGGAUUGAGGAGGUUUUGAGAGGGAGUGAUUUCAGGGGAUUGGGUGAAUCCCUUUGUUCCACCCAAUCCUCUCAAAUUCCCGGGGCUUUGCUUCCACUAGUCUUCCGAGGAGGGUUUUGAAACACAUGAAUAGGAAGGGAUUGAAGGGGAACGGAGGGGAUUGGGCUAAGCAAACCCCUCCUACCAAAUGGACGUCCUAGGAUCUGUGGGGUUUCUGGCCCUCCCGGGAAUUUUCCUUUCAAAACCUCCCCAAUCCCCCAUUAACCAAACGAGGCCUUAGAUUUCUUUUGAGGGAAAACCCCCGAUCUCAUUUUAUCCAUACGUAAUAGUGAGUUUUACAUAGCCCGGGCCCGGGAGCUCCAAAAGCCAACAAUGUCGGGUUGGUGCUAAUGCUAAGGAAGCUUGCUCGAUGUUGUGAGCAGUUAGCAUCCACGUUAUCCUUCCUUCUUUCAUAUGUCAUACUAAAAGUUUCAUAGCACUUCAUAUCUCUUGAAUAAUCAUGGAAUUCAAUCCUGUGUUUCCUUCAUGAAUGGAUUGUUCUACUUCUGCACAGCCUAUUGUGAUUACUCCAUUCUGCAGGUUGAUAUCCCUGGCUAGACGUAAUGCCUCACGGCAGGCCAUCGCUUCCAUGCUUGCUAGGUCUGUAACACCAAUAGACACCAGAACUGAAGCCCCCAUGAGCACACCAGUUAUGAUUAAACGAAUUUUGGCUUAUUUGACUCCGCUUUUGUGAUAAUCAACAGUGUCAUGUCACACAUUUUCUAUCAUAUCCACCACAUCAUCUUGUUUCCUUCUCUCGAAAUAGGCUUUCGCCCCGCUAUAUAGAUAUAGCAACCAUCUGAUACAUCAAAGAUCCUAAUGCUCGGAGAGGCAGCAGAAGAAUGCCCAAACAGAAGAAAAGAGAAAUUAAAAAAAAAGAAUGACAACAGAAUCGGCUCGAUGAAAACGAGGCUGAACCCAAACCGCUGCGCCCUCCAAAGAAAUCAACCAUGCUCCUAGCACUUCGGACCAUCGCAUAAUAAGCAGCACCUUUAAAAAGGAAUGUGACGGUGACGACACUGCUGCCCAGAUUGAUCCUUGGGUUUCCCCCGUAUGCGGAGGGGCGUUUGUGAGUGGGAUACCCAACACCCUUCAGGAAGGAACGACGGGCGUCGCCGCGUCGGUGCCAGGCACGCCGACAAGGAUUUCUCCCGUUCAACACAAACCCCCACCCCGACCGGUCUGUCACGCUCCACCAAACGUGCCGCCCACCAACAUGCGCUACCACGAUCUAGGAAAAACCACCGCCGUCUCACCAUGGAGAGCGAAAAGCGGGACCGACGAACCCUAGAGGGAACAACCGGGAACGAGGAGUGGCAGAGUCAGUAGCCACACAAGAGGGGACAACCUCCGCCGCCCUCGACGGUCACCGACCGAACGCAGCAGGGGAGCACACCAGACACGUAGGCCCGCUCGAGUCCUUAACGGCUCGUGAAGCUCCCCUUGGAGUGGACGUACCGCCGUCUCCGCAACCCCUCGCAUGAGCCACUCUCUCCGACCACCGGAGCUGGCGUAGGCGUAGCCGAGCCAGGCCCGCCCAGAACCAGAUCUGGGUCGAGAGAACGUAGCGGCCAACCACCGUGCCAGCCCACCGCCAAGUGGCUGCACCACUACCUCCUCAUCAUUCGGAGCAGCGUCGCCCGAGGAAGAGCCGUCGCGCACCCGCGACGGGACGACCUCCUGCAGCCGUCGAUCCCAAAGCCGGACCAUAGCAGUCGCCUACGCUGCCCGUAGCCCGCGCCGCCAGGAGCCAGAUCCGACCGUCGGUCGACCACGAUCCGCGCCACGUGCGCCUCACCAUGGCAGCCACCACGCCGCCACAAGAACUCCCGGAUCCGAUGGGCCGCCGCCAUCCGGAGCGCUCGGAUCUGCGCCGCCGAGCCCCCGCCAUAGCCUAGCGGCUCCGGCGGCCAGUCGCACCGACCAGGGGGUCCGCGAGGAGGGGAAGGAGAGACCCCGCCGCCGCCCACGCCGGCCUGGCUUCGCCCAACGGCGACUCGAGGCGGCGACGAGGGAGGGAGAGGACGGAGGAGGAGGAACUGGGCACCUGCGACUAGGGUUCCUCCCGUCGCCGCACGGGAGCGACGAGGGAGGAGGGGGGAAAGGAGUUUCCCAGCUCGUUUCCUUGUUUCCCUCUCUUCAAAACUAAUACUAAACCAUCAAGUUUCUGUCAAACCUUCUGUCUAUUUUAGGUAGAACUUCAACUAAAAUUAUCACCGAAUUCAACAUGAUUUUACUGGAAUUAAAUCCAAAAAAAAAUUCGUGCAGUUGGAUUUUGGGACUCAAAAAUUGACCUUGAAUUUUCAAGAAAAGAUUGGGUGCACGAGUGCUUGCGACGCCUACUAUGGUUGAAAAAGAGGUGUGUGUGUGUGUGUGUGUGUGUAAAUUUAGGCUUAGGGUUAAAGAAAAUUAGCAAUAGGCUUAGGGUUAAUGCAUAUAUGCGGGCCGACCCAAAUAGACUUUUUUAGGAGACUCUCUUUCGUGUUUUGGGUAUAUUCUGGAACCUUCCAUGAUAAACAACGAUAAAUGAUGUGAAGUUGUACUGAAGCAGCGACAAGCAACAUGGAUUGAAAAGAAUCGCAACUUCAUAGGAUCAAGUGACUACGGAGUAUAAUUUACAAGAAAGAAUUUCUGUGAACGUCCACUGCAUGCCAGUCAUCCCACCACCACCACCGUAACGGUAUCUACAGCAUUUCACACCACAAACACAGCAAAUCAAAUGGUAUGCCAGCUUCUACGUAUGGCAUGUCCGUAUGUACGUAUAAUGUAUUCUACUCCUGUCAAACUUUUUGUACGUGCAUACUCUGAUGGUCCGGCCAUGACCGUCGGUGCUCAGGACAAGAUGGCAGAGGGGCCGGUGAACGGGGCGCAGUACAGGGGAGCUAUGGCGGCCUCCGGGCCGCCCAACCCGCCUCGGCCGUAGCUCCGGCAUGUGCUCUUCUCCUCCUCCUCCUCGUCCUCCUCCGNNNNNNNNNNNNNNNNNNNNNNNNNNNNNNNNNNNNNNNNNNNNNNNNNNNNNNNNNNNNNNNNNNNNNNNNNNNNNNNNNNNNNNNNNNNNNNNNNNNNNNNNNNNNNNNNNNNNNNNNNNNNNNNNNNNNNNNNNNNNUCCUCGUCCUCCUCCGGGCUGCCGUGGCGGUCCUGGCAGCGGCCGCACCCGCAGGGGAGGCUGCUGCUGCUGCUCUUGCUGAGGCGGUGGUCGUCCUCGUUCGGCGCGGCGGCCGCGACCACGGCCUUCCUGAAGGAGGCGAUGCCGCUCCGGCAGAGCGGGCACGGGACGGCUCCGGCGAGCCCCGGCACCUCGUACGCCUUCAUCACCGUGCACAGGUCCAUCGCGCACUUGAGGCACAGCUCGUGCCCGCACACUGCAUGCACGCCGGUCCAGUCGGAGACGACCGACGUCAGUUCGCCGGAAAUUUCGAAGGAGGAGAAGAAGAAAGUUGCGCGUGACGAAAGAGCAGAGCAUGGCAUGGCACCUACCUUCGGCUGCGACGUUGCAGGGUCUCUCGAGGCAGACAGAGCAGGCGUCGUCGUCGUCGUUGCCGGCGAGGGCGGCGAAGGGGUCCGGCGAGGCGGCGGCGUAGUCCCUGGCGACGGCGAGGAGGGAGGGGAGCGGGAGGGAGAGGUGGGGCGAGGGCGGGAACUNNNNNNNNNNNNNNNNNNNNNNNNNNNNNNNNNNNNNNNNNNNNNNNNNNNNNNNNNNNNNNNNNNNNNNNNNNNNNNNNNNNNNNNNNNNNNNNNNNNNNNNNNNNNNNNNNNNNNNNNNNNNNNNNNNNNNNNNNNNNNNNNNNNNNNNNNNNNNNNNNNNNNNNNNNNNNNNNNNNNNNNNNNGCGCCAGCACGUGCUCCAGCCAGUUGCACUUCCACAUCCGGGCCACGUCCAGGGCCAGCCAGCCGUUGCAGUUGGCGGCCAUGCGGUCGGCGCCGCGGGACACGAGCACCUGGCAGCAGCGGANNNNNNNNNNNNNNNNNUGCUCCCGGCGCCGAUGGCCGCCAUGGGGGCCGCGGCGCAGGGCAGCGUCUGCGCGUGCAGGGACGCCUGCUCGUCGACCAGCAGGUGCACGCAGUCCACGUGCCCGUGCAGCGCCGCCAGGUGCAGCGCCGUGACGCCGCCGCCGGCCCCCCGGUUCGCGUACCGGGCACUGGCGCCCUCGCCUGCGCCGGCCGCGUCCGCCAGCAGCAGCCGCACGCACCGGACGUGCCCGCCCGCCGCCGCCGCGUGNNNNNNNNNNNNNNNNNNNNNNNNNNNNNNNNNNNNNNNNNNNNNNNNNNNNNNNNNNNNNNNNNNNNNNNNNNNNNNNNNNNNNNNNNNNNNNNNNNNNNNNNNNNNNNNNNNNNNNNNNNNNNNNNNNNNNNNNNNNNNNNNNNNNNNNNCGCCGCCGCCGCGUGCAGCGCCGUGCGCCCGCUCAGCCCGUCCGCCUUCCACACCUGAUCCAUCCAUCCAUACACAAGCAAAGAUCGCGAUCAAAUUGGAUUGAUCUGCAGGAACACAACAUGAUCAAAUUGAAUCUUUGGUCCAGUUAGUGGUAGCGUACGUUGCAUCUGAAGGCGAGCAACGUCUGAACCACCUCCCAGUGCCCUGAGCGGCAGGCUUGCAUCAACGGCGUCUGCAAUCCAAUUGUCCACCAAUCAGCAUGUCAAAAAUAACAGGUCAGAUUAUUUUCCACUGGUAAAAACGAAAAGUGCAAAAUUAUCUGAUGGGAUUACAGCAGAGACAAAAUAUAUAUAUAUAUAUAUAUAUAUGAAAGAAUGCAAUUUUCAACAUAAUAUUUUUAUUUUGAGAAUAUUGUUUUUCAUGAUGUUUCUAAAUAAAAACAAUUUUUUGGGCGAACCAAUCUGUGUUUGUAUGGUUAGAAAGAUAGUGGUAUCUGCAGGCCACUAUAGCUUAAAUUUUAUACUUAACACUAGUGCUUGCAUUUUUUCUUGAUCUAGUCCAGGCGUACGCUGAUGUGCGUUUAGUGAAAGGAGAUAUUCAUAUGCAUAACUGAGUGUAUGAGCAUCUGCGUCUGAAUCGGGUUCAAAAAAAUUCAUGCCACAUAUGUUUCUCCAUGCAGGAACCCUAUUUAUUACAACAUUUUUUUCAGAAAGUUGUUCCAUACCAAGCGGUCAGCUUCGUAAGGUACCAUCAAAAAAUGCUAACAGAAAAUCGUUCUAUGUUUUAAAAAUGUGAUAUUCAAAAGGAAAAUCAAUAACUGUAUUUUUCGUUAUUCUGGCGAGGAUUCAGGACCAGGAAAAUAUCUUUCUCCGAUGAACUUUUAGUUUCAUGGAUGGAUGAUGGAACUACCAUUUGUAUUCCAAAUCUUUACUUGUCCACUUUUCUUCAUAAUAGUCCGGUUUUCGAAACACAAGAAAGGCAUUAUUAUCCACCUCCCGUAUUUUGUUGACUUGUGUCAAUUCUUUGGCGCUGGCCAGGCCAGGAGUACGAUGACUGAGGGUUCUACUUUCUGAGAGACCAAUAAUUAAGUUCCUCGAUUGACGUUGUUGCAACCAACCAACUAAGGGCCUUUUUGAUUCGUAGGAUUCUCAAAAUGCAGGAUUAGGAAAAACGUAGGAAUAGAGUGGCAUGUCAUUUUCUACACUACAGGAUUUGGAAGUGUGUUUGAUAGCACAGAAAAAACAAAGGAAUUCUACAAAGAGGUUUGAGUGGAUGAAAAUUUUCCUUCAAAAUGUAGUAUAAACGAAUCCUAUGGAAAAAUUCCAAAGGAUUUCAAUCCUAUGAAUCAAAUGACCAUCGUAGGAAAAAAUCCUAAGGAUCCAAAUCCUCUAAAAAUUCAAUGAAAUUCCUUUGUAUCAAAAGAGCCCUAAAUGACUAAUAAUACCAUACACAGUUUCUUCCUAGUAUGAAGAAAAAUACAACAACACGCUGAGUUGCAUUGACGAUGGAUGGAUCGAUGGACUGAGAACUCUACUGCUCGAUCGGAGACAGACACGAUGAGUUGGUUGAGAACUUGAGAUGGGCAAUAAACACAAGCCAGAACUCUUCACCUCACGCAGACAUGCUCCUACAUUGAUACAUACGUACCUGUCCGUACACGUUCCUCGCGUUCGCGUCGGCUCCCUUCUCCAGCAGCACCGCCGCGAUCUGCACGUAUGCCAAACACAUUCAGAAUUAGCUCGGUAAGAAAUAAGCUGGCAAUUUAAUUUUCAGCAAUGCUACACAUACAUAACUUUUUAUGAGCUUUACAAACAGAUGUAUUUUGAUUAGAGAUUAAGGGGGAUGAGGGCCUCACCCCCUUAAAAAUCAAGGGGAAGGGAGUGGUUAGUUAGAAAGAAAGAAUCUUAGUCAGCAUUUAACCUUAUGUAACUCUUUGUAUGUCUAGAAUAUUUUUUUUAACUUUUACCAACAACGUGCCUACCAGGUUAGUUUUUUUGUUGUGCGGAAAUUAAAUUAAAUCGGAUGUAUGUACAUAUUACCUGCUCCUUCUGUUCCUGAAUAUUGGUAUUUUUAAAGAUUCAAUUAUAGAGUACAUACAAAGUAAAAUGGAUGAAUCUAUAUUCUAAAUUAUGUCUAUGUACAUACAUAUAUAGUACAUAGCAAAAUAUUUAAAAAGAUAUAUAUUUAGGAACAGAAGGAGUACAUAUCAAAAUAUAAGACAUUUUUCAGCUUGUUUAGACUAAAAAAAAGUCUUAAAUUUUGAUACGAAAGUAGCACAUAAGUAUUAAGUUGAUGUGAAUGUAUGCGUGUGUAUAUGAUCACUUGGGUCAGUACUUUGUCAAAAAAAAUAUGAAGUCGGUUGUACUAGACUACGUAUAUGUAGAAGCGUUGUGUGUUAGGUCGGGGGGACAUGUGAUUUGAUAGUUAGCGUAUGUACGACUGCAGAUGGGAACAGUUAACCAGCUGGCUCGCUCGCUCACUAGCUACCCAUCAUGCAUCAACUCAUGUACAUAAACACUGGCUGAGCAUAUAUAUAUACUUUUCGACAAAAUCGUCAAAGCUAGCCAGCCGGACGAUCGACAGGACGCUGCGUCUAAUUAAUUUCUUGUGACUUUGGUGAUGGCGUCCUGACGCGAUGGCCUUUAAAAAAACAUGGGACCGAUUAGCCUUUGCAAAAAUACAUUGACUAAUAAUGCGUCGACAGGGACGACACGUUUGUGCUGCAAAAAUCAAUGUACUGUAGCGCACAUGUGUACUUCGAUUGCACGAGGCAUUUAGUAGUUUUUUUGUACGAUGCCCUAAAAAUGCACCCUACAUUCCACGGAUUCUAUCUUAAUCACAUACGUACCACUCGAGGCGUACACAUUUUGCCUUACUCGUUCCUGGUAAAUACUCUUCACGUCAUAUUUAGAUUUUUCGCAUUUGCGAGGAUCGAACCGGUAAGUCGGUUUCCCGGAAGAAGGAAUGGAGGCAGGGUGGAGCUCCGAUGCCGAAUUGUGGUUGACCCGGAGGCUGGUACGAAGGUAGCGGUGUCGUCGGUGAAGGGAGUCGGGGGUUUGAUGUUUCGAGGUGGGUUGUCUCCUCUGAAAAAGAAGGGUAGUAGGGGGGCUUAGAGAGAUGGCUGGGUGAAGAGGGGAUGAUAUACCGAUCGAGGCGAUGGCUACACAAUGCUUGUCGGUUGGACCAUCUGAAAUGAGAGGAAUGCUUGAGUUUUUAGAGAAAAAAAAUCGAUGCCGCCUUUCUACAUCUUAAAGCUUGUUCAAGAAGAGGCCAAACUUUGGGUUAUCGCCGGACCUAACAUUUGAGUAAGAUCAUGCCACGAGAUUAAUUUCAUAUGUAAUUUCUCUUUAACGGGCUACGUCGUGGAGCCGUUGUUAUGUGCUAUAAACUCCUCCUUCCAUAUUAACGAAUGAGGCGAAUAUUUUGGCUUGUUAUCUCAAAAAAAAAAAGAUAUACCGAUCGAGGNNNNNNNNNNNNNNNNNNNNNNNNNNNNNNNNNNNNNNNNNNNNNNNNNNNNNNNNNNNNNNNNNNNNNNNNNNNNNNNNNNNNNNNNNNNNNNNNNNNNNNNNNNNNNNNNNNNNNNNNNNNNNNNNNNNNNNNNNNNNNNNNNNNNNNNNNNNNNNNNNNNNNNNNNNNNNNNNNNNNNNNNNNNNNNNNNNNNNNNNNNGUGCAUGAUGGCAAUAGGUGGUUUGGCCGGCGCUUACCGAACAAGUUAGGAGGAAGGAGGAGAAGUUGUUGGCUCGAGGAAGAAGAAAACACAACAUCCGUUGGAUACACACCAGGCGGCUAAAGGAUCAACUUGCCCAAAAAAACCAGACAACUCCAACUUGUUNNNNNNNNNNNNNNNNNNNNNNNNNNNNNNNNNNNNNNNNNNNNNNNNNNNNNNNNNNNNNNNNNNNNNNNNNNNNNNNNNNNNNNNNNNNNNNNNNNNNNNNNNNNNNNNNNNNNNNNNNNNNNNNNNNNNNNNNNNNNNNNNNNNNNNNNNNNNNNNNNNNNNNNNNNNNNUACUUGAAAAAUCUGCGUGUCACUGUCCGAUACAGUGAAUGCACCUACCUGGCUGCCUGUAGUAUACCAUCAACUUGGGUGACGUGGGAAAAUCAACAAGUCAAUCAAACGUUUUGAUCGAUCUACCUUAUUACACAUCGGCAUGACAGUAACCCGGCCUGAAAAAUAUCCUACCAAUUAACUAGUGGUGCCAACUUGCGUGCCAAAGAAUGCAUCGCUGCAAUGGUGACUCGCCACUGCCGUCAACUUUUGGCCACACAACCAACAAGUCAUUUUCUAGCAAGGAAAAAUGGGAAACCAUAUAUAGCCGGAGGACGCACGCAUGCGCCUCAAACCAAAUCCGAUAUGGUGGAUUAGGUAGGUUUUCAUGUCGACUCGUCAAUCUAUUCUAUUUUAUCAUCGGUGGUUUGUCUCUGGUUAAGUAAAAGCUAUGGUGGUUAUGCUACGUAGGUGUCCAUACUAAUAAUUAAUCAAGGGAACAAAUCGGAUAUGUUAGUACCUUUCGAGACAUUACUACUAGCAGGGAUCAGUAUGUGGGAUCUGGCUAAUUAAUCCGGACCGCAUGUUUUUCAACAUUUUGUUUCGUUGUACUUCCUCCGUCUCAAAGUUCUUAUCUUAGAUUUNNNNNNNNNNNNNNNNNNNNNNNNNNNNNNNNNNNNNNNNNNNNNNNNNNNNNNNNNNNNNNNNNNNNNNNNNNNNNNNNNNNNNNNNNNNNNNNNNNNNNNNNNNNNNNNNNNNNNNNNNNNNNNNNNNNNNNNNNNNNNNNNNNUUCUUAUCUUAGAUUUGUUUAAAAAUUGAAUGUAUCUAAAUACUAAAAUGUGACUAGAUGCAUUCAUAUGUAGACAAAUCUAAGAUAAGAAUUUUGAAACGGGAGAAGUAAAUUAUUUCAUCUCUUUCGUGCAUGUUCUGAUCCCCGUGACGUGAGCUUGCGUGCAUGGUUAUUCGACAAAACUUUUGAAUUUAAACGGACGCUCCAAGACAACACACAAUCUGUGUUUCACAAUUGCGUUUUUAUUUCCAGGGGGAAAAUCAUUGCAAGGUUUUUUUUUUCGCGCGCCGUAAUGAACUUGUAAGAUAAAAACAAAACAUGUUGAACUAUGUACGCGCCUUAUUUGCAUGGUUUCGAAUUUGAAUUGCACCCGCUGAACUAGCCCAUGCAUGCAGAACGGAAACAAAAUUCGCAUGCAUGCAGGAGGAGGCGCGCGCGCGCACGCGGCCACCGCCGGCGUCGAGAGCGAGCGGGUCGUCGGGCCAUCUCGCCGUCCGGCCGACCGGAGCGCGCGCGUGCGAGGGCAGGUGCACGUGCGUACGUACCUCGUGGUGGCCCUUGGUGGCGGCGAGGUGGAGCGGCGAGCUGAGGUUGCCGAAGGUGGCCGUGCACCGCGCGAGCCCCGGAUCCGCCGCCAGCAGCCGCCGCACCUCCGCCGCGUCGCCGUCCCUCGCCGCCGCCGCCAGCCGCUCGCCCAGCCCCGCGCACCCCAGCGCGUUCCCCAUGCGUAUAGGAUCGAUCGAUCGACGAUGAUGCCUCGUCCGCCUCCGUCCGUCCGCGCUCCGCACCAGCGGCCGGCCGGCGCGCGCCCCGUCGUUAGCAGGAGAUCGAGCUAAGCUCACGGGACUUCUCCGGUCGUUGUUGGCAAAGGAGGUUGAAUCUGGUGAGCUAAGGUGCGCGCUGUGAGCCUAACACUAGCUAGGCCACCAUAUAUAUCUAAAUAUCUGAGAUCGAUUUCUGCCAAUCUCUCGUGCAUUUCUCUGCCUGCUGGCUGGUCUAGAUAGUUUUAUAUGUGCACUCUUCAAGCUAGCUCUGGCUUGGUUAGUGUGAUCAUGACACAUGAGAGAAUUCUUUUUUCCUUCGUCUUCUCUGGCUGAUAUUGAUAUGAUAUCUUGCUGUGAGUACACGAGGCACCAGUGUAUUGAUUAGUUGUGCAUGGCCGCUUUUGCAUACUAACCCCUCUACACGUGUAGAUUCACUUUCACGCCCACUAGGCCUUAGGGAUAACCGUCGCACACCCCUUCCGCCUUUUUUUUUUCUUCUUCUUUUGAGUUGGACGCACCCCCUCCCCCUAUAAAUGUCAUUUUGACUUAAUUCAGCGCGUGCUUCUUUUGGCGCGACAUGUUACCGCUACAUGUAGACUACCUGGUUGAACGAUACAAGUGAUUUGAGAGUCUCAUUUCGAAACGACGUCGAUAACGGGUGAAGUGUUGAUCUCCUAGAGAAAAUAUACGAGACGACAAAUCUCCAAAGCUCUUAUCAACAGAGUGUCGCUUAUCAGCAUGGUAUCGUCCUCGAUUGCAUCCUAUGGUCGAAGCAUGUCCCGAGGAAGUGAAAGUGAUGCACACAUAAAAUUGUAUUGAAAACGCUGUGGGUCAAUUCAUUGUUGAUCAUGUAAAACGGCCCUUACCGUUAAAUGGAAAAUUACAAAGAGUCAACCCUAGUGCUAGCUAUAAGAGUCAGUCGACCUAUGGCACACUUGAUUGUGUGGUGCUAAUAAGUUGGCAUGGAAAAAAUCUUGCUAGCUUCACCGCGUGUCUAAAUCAUCCGCGGCCAAAGAGACCGUGCAAGAUAUAUUCAUACAUGUAUGGUGGUAUGAUCAAUCGAUGUAACUACCUGCCAACCCCACUUAGCACUAACUCACGGGUGCAGCUAAUUUAGAUAGCUGGUGGAUCAAAUUUCUCCACUUGGUAGCAUCAGUUUCCUUCACUUUCUGCCACUUGCAUUUCAUGUCUAUUGACCGAAAGGAAACCCUAUUAUGGUUUUAUCAUCUUCAUUGUAAUCACAAUUUUGUUAAAAGUUUAUUUUCAGGUUAAUAAUUAGUCAAGUCUAUACGAUCAUUUUCAGUGUCUUUCGUGGAAUUACUUGUUUCUCCUGAUAUUUUGUUAGAAAACUUGUGCAUUGAAAGACAUGCCUCAACCAAUUCAACCGGGUUUCAAUUUUCUUGCAAAACAAGAAAAAAAAUCGCAAGAUAACAUGUUGGGUCCCAAUGUCUUGCAGAGAGAGACAAGCCAUUCAGUCAACCAGAAGUGCAUCAAUGCAUAUACUGUUCACUGGUGUGCUCUGAUUUCAUUCAACCACAACCCACUUCAUAUAUACCAGUGUUUAGGAAACUUUUUUNNNNNNNNNNNNNNNNNNNNNNNNNNNNNNNNNNNNNNNNNNNNNNNNNNNNNNNNNNNNNNNNNNNNNNNNNNNNNNNNNNNNNNNNNNNNNNNNNNNNNNNNNNNNNNNNNNNNNNNNNNNNNNNNNNNNNNNNNNNNNNNNNNNNNNNNNNNNNNNNNNNNNNNNNNNNNNNNNNNNNNNNNNNNNNNNNNNNNNNNNNNNNNNNGAAGGUUCCUGACCUCAUUUAGCAAGAUAUGGAAUGAAUGGACACACUGUCAAGAGAGAUAGACAAGAUUUUUUUAUUAAUUAAUCAAUAUAGUCACAAGAGGGCAGCGGCCUUGAGUGAGACUUGCCGAGAGAAAAGCAAGGCAUCCAAUGGACACAUAGAGCAAUCAAUGAUGAUACCUUUCUCAAAUUUCAUUACGAAAAGGGACUUGUUUGGUGGCCAAGCAGUUGGGUAGGCGUUAAGCAAACAAAGUGCUUGUAUGCCACCAUCUUAUUCAUAACAUAUAUAUAAUACAUACUAUUAGUUGGAAAACCAAAUGAGAUAUAUAUAUAUAUNNNNNNNNNNNNNNNNNNNNNNNNNNNNNNNNNNNNNNNNNNNNNNNNNNNNNNNNNNNNNNNNNNNNNNNNNNNNNNNNNNNNNNNNNNNNNNNNNNNNNNNNNNNNNNNNNNNNNNNNNNNNNNNNNNNNNNNNNNNNNNNNNNNNNNNNNNNNNNNNNNNNNNUAUAUAUAUAUAUACAGUAGUUGAAAACCCAAAUAUUAUUAAAAAAAACACUCAAGAGCAAAUAGAAAAUAAGAUAAAAUGCGUCGUCCAUGAUCUGUGAGCCUCAUACACUUGAACAGCUGCACUAUCAUUAGAUUCAUUAGAAGAUAAGGUGGAGCAUACUACUGUUCUCACUUCUGAAGAAUGUACUACAAAAUCAUUUCCUACAGCCCUCUGUACACGUACGACUUGCAGACUUUGAAAAGAGGAAGCAUAUCAGCAUGAAUUUCAUGUCGUAUCACAUAAUGUCCUACCUACCUACCGGCGUUAUUUCAUUGACCAAACAGUGGAGACUGGUGCGUGUCACGUAUAGUUAUGAAGCGUACAAAUUCAAGGGCAUGUUUCAAAAUGAUAAAUUUGCAGAGGGCAGGGUCGCAAAGUAGUAGCACACCACUGAACGGGUCAUCAUCUAAUCUUCAGGGCAGAAAUGGCUAAUUAGUGAUCAGAAGAAUUAAGAAAGUGCUGAUUAUUUAUUUUUAAUGUCAGGAAUAAAGAGCGGCAACUUGUGUCAGCACUCGUGAGUGUUUUUGAUCCGUUGUGGAGUAGUCCAAGGGAAGAGUAUCUUGCUCGUGGGAAUCUCUCUGGAGGUGGUGGAUUCUUGCAAGGAAAGAGAAUCUCCAGUUGCUUCGUCCACGCCAACCUUUGCUCACCAAUCACCCGGUUGCAUUUCCGUGUCAACUUGACCUUCUACGCGGAUAGGGUUUAAUAGAAGACAGUUUUUUUCAAAACUAAUUGCGAUCCCUUGUCUUAUAAUAACUCCCCGGGUAUCUUUGAUUCGGAGAAUUUUUUAAUAUGAAUUUCAACGAUUGCUUCAGUAUAUCUUUGAUUCGAAGGAUUUGUGGAAACCACCACAAGAAUUAUGGGACGGAGGGAGAGCAUACGAAUAUUUAUGAAGGUUCUCUUGCACUUUAUUUUAAAUUUCAACAAUGGAUGCUUUCUUUAUGAAUUCAUAAUAAAUCAUCAAAGGGAUAUACAAACACAAUAACUAUAAACCGGGCCUCCGCACACUUAUACACACCUUCAACGUCACACAACACACACACACACACACACACACACCGCGGUGGGAGAAAAGACACACCACCAAAAACACAACCUAAAAAAGAUUCGACAAUCCCAGGCUUUCGUCCGUAAGUGCUAAACCAUUGCACCCCGAGACAAUACACCACGAGUUGUCAUUGUACUGGCAAGGCCGUGAUAAUCCUCAGCAAAUUGCCACACACCAUGUUCAUGAUACGACAUUGCAACGUAGGAUCGCCGCUACCAUGCUUGGUCUCAAUGCCUCAGCUACCCCAAAAAGGGCACUGAUAAGACAUGGAGCGGCAUGUGCAGCACGAACAUGUUAUCAUCCACUAGCCCCUCCCCGUCCCGUCCCCCCGCUAACCAAUGCAACUCCAAAAUGAUGCUCCCAAGAGAGAUAAACGACACCAUUGACAUCAACUACCAAUCGGAGUCAUCCUGACCUAGGUUUCCCUUGGAGCAACACGUAGGUACGCGAAAACAACAUCUAUUGGUGCCAAAAGGAGUCACCAUCGCCAUCCUCAGAAAUAUCCGAGCACAACUAUCGACCAUGAUCUCGUCGCAGCCGGACAAAAUCCGUCCUGCGCCAUGCCGACUGAGAUGGAACCACGCCAUCGUCGUGUCCGCCCGCAGUCCUGCUAGGUUAUAGAUCACACCAGUGUGCUACCAUCCACCGCUGAGAAGCCUUAGACACGUCUGCACGCCUAGCUAGCCAGGCCAGAACUACGGCCCACCUCCGACGUCGCACAUCUGCGGUACUAUGUCGCUCUUGUCAUCCGCAUGGGCCCAGCGCCACCUCGACGAGUCACGGACCUUCACUUAAAUGAGCCACCCCUAGGCCGCUCGUGUUCCUAGCCAGAUGUUGAUAAGGAACCAUGUUGAUGUCGACGUUGUGUGGUCUUUACUCUCCAUCGGCGGUGAGGGGCAAAGGAAGUGGGGUGGUGCUUGGCAUUAACAAAAAUAGUGUGCAUGAAAUUAUUCUUGUAAUACAGUGGCAAACAAAAUACUACCUCCGUCCUGGUUUAGUGGUUAUCUUUGUAUUUUGUCCCAAACUUUGAUUUCAGAUUUAACUGGCAAAAUGUCCUGUGCGCUGCAGCAAAAGAAAAAACAAUUUAUAAUCUUGAAUGGUCAUGAUCACAUUUGGUUGCAUCAUCGAGAAACACCAUCACUCUCAUUUUCAAAUUGUGAAUAAUUUUUUAAAUCAUGAACAUUUAUUAAACUCGGGAAUAUAUUUGGAAUUAUGAAUAAUUUUCAAAUGCGUUAUAUAUACAUUUAUAUAUAAAGUAUGGUUCCCAAGUGACGAAUAGUAUUAAUAUACGUUUAUAUAUAAACUAUGGUUCACUUACAAUUUUUUCAUAGAACUCACUUUAGAGUAUCUUAGAUACAUUAUAUGAACAUACUAAAAAUAAUAAAUUAGUAUAUAUACUGUCAUAUGGUAGUAUAUGAGGCAUGGAUGUAACUGCACCCCUGAUAGUAGGAUACAUAUAUAAACACACUAUUAUUUGGAAACCAAAUGAUAUAUAUACUAUAAAAAAUAAAAUAAAAUAAGUUAAAUUAAAAUAAAAUGAAUCAUCCGUCAUAAAAUAUAGCAUCCCUUGACUCCACGAGGGGAUUUCCAAUGUUGACCCAUAAAUAUGCUCCGACAUCUGUUUAUGGACAGGGGAACCAAUCCGCAGACACGGGCCGCCCAUCCAACGCUACACGCAUACAUCUGACCUCAAUUUUUUUAUUUUUUGCACGUUCAAAUAGCUGCAUAUAUAAUCUAAAAUAGUUCAAAUGUCCAAAUACAGCGGUAGUUCUAAAUUUUUUUUAAAAUAUUACAAUCCAACAUUGUUGUCCCCCUUCACCGCCCGCAUACGCUCAAUCGGAUUUUCAUUCUGUUACUCGUGAGUUGCUUGAUCCCGAUUUUGUUAUGCAUUCGAACAAUCUCUUCAAAUAUGGUCGGAUUUUGAUUGGAGAGUUUGAUUUGACCACUCAUGUCCUCAAAUUUAAGACCUGCGGCAUCAUCCUCACCCUCAUCCUCCACGACCAUCUUGCACAUGAUCACACAACAGUUCAUUACCUCACACGUAGAUCAUUCCACCUUUAUCUAUCUAGGUUAUCCUUCUUUCAUAACAAAGCAGAAUGUGAUGAUCAAUCCCUCUAUUAUGAGAUUCAUGUUUAUACCGAUGUCAUUGUAUUGGUUGGUGCCAUUUCUUCUCUUGGAGGCAGGUGUCGAUAUAUUGGGACAUGGCAUCAUCGUAUUCAUGUUUUCCAUACUGCACCAUAUUUCCGUAGAACCUCGGCAUGAUGCAUUGUUGCAAAAAAAAAAAAGGUGGAGAGUCAUUGCUGAAGUUUUUCAGUUUAUUUCCCCUACUAAUAUAUCUGAAUUAUGUGAUCUAUGGAACAGAAAUGACAAAAGUCUGCUAUUGGUAUGGCAUGCAUUGCAUCCAUCUAGAGCUUAUGGAGAUCGCCAAAUGAUUUGUGUUUUCAAGGAAAAGAGUGAAUUUGAUCAACAUGGCUUCUAUCUGAGGUACCAUUCCAGCUGAUGUUGAUGCUUAUGUAAUACAGUAGUUAGCUCCUGUCUGAAUUUCCUUAUGCUCAUGAUGUUGGUUGAUCAGAGAGCUUACUAGCGCAGCUACUUCGGUUUAGCCCCAGAAUUGUGAAUAGUCAUUAUGUGUUAUUAUUAUUUUUUGCCUCGUUUUAGGGCAUCCCACAGUACAAGGUAGUAUUAAUAAUAUUCCACAAAAAACUCACACCUACUGUGCAUGGUGUACUAAUCCUUGCGACGGCAUCGCAGGACACAAGGACGCCUAUCCUGUCCUGCAUUGACAUGAUAAAAGAACAUCGACUAAAUGAAUUCCUGCAUUGACAUGAUAGAAGAACAUUGACUAAAUGAAUGGAUGAACGACACCAAAUGGAGCCGCUCUCACCCUCAAGGCCGCCUGAAGACUAAGCUCUGGCUACGCAGAGCCAGAAAUGAAACCAGUGGACAUGCAUAUCACAUUGUGCAAACACACAGCUGCGGGUGGUAGUCAUGAUUAUUCGAACACAAGUCCGUUGACGUUCAUCCGUGGAGCUGUCGGGGGGCGGAUGGCGUUACACGGGUGACUCAAGGAUUGCCGGUCUUAUGCAUCUUACAGGGGCAGGCAUAAAACACAAGAAGGGAACCAAGCAAAUUCUUUCUUUUCAGUAAAUAGAUGCUAAUGCUGCUACGGCUGCUGCUUACGGACAGUUGAAGCGCGGCGUGGCGUGGGUCGAUCACAUGGCGUUGAUCAUCCGCUUCAUCUCCGCGGUCCUCCUCGGGUCAGGGUCCGCUAUGGCCCGCUCCGUCAGCACGUGCUUGAUCCGGCACAUCGAUCUCUUCACCUGGAAGAAACAAACAAUAGCAGGGCGAGUCAAGUGCCGCCUAAGGAACAGAGAAGAUGAAUUGGCAAAGAAAAAAAAACUGAUGCUUCACACUAGUAACAAGCUUUUCAAUUCACGUUGACGCUUAGCAUGAACCAAACAGAGGACAUGGUAUCCUAUAAUAAAGCAGUUCAUAUCUCUAGAUUGAAAAGUUCACCAACAAUAUAUUGUUGACCAACUGUUCACUCAUUAUUUCCUGGAGAGCAAGUACCCAGCACUAAACUGUGUCUUGAACAGAGAACGCGCCUUGGAAAAAAAUACGCUGAUGAAAAGAAAUAUUGAGUCACGUAGACACUUGAGAAGAACCAAAUGGAAGGAAUGAUGUCCUAUAAAGCAGGGCAUAUCUCCAGAUUGAAAAGUUCAUCAACAACAUAUUGUUGACUAACUAUUCAUUCAUUAUUUCUUGAAAAGCAAAAGUACCCAGGGCUGAAAAAAAAACAGCAUUGAAAAGUGGCCAAAUUUGCACCAAUGUUGAACACCACCAAUAAAUUAUCAUUUUAGAAAACAAAACAAAAAAAGUUACUGUCCCCAAGACAGACAUGGUUUCAUAAAUUUCUCUCUAACUGUGCAUAAAGAAACUGUUUUCCAGCAUGUCCAUGCUGCAUAACAUGCGAAAGCAGGAGAAUUAGUAGUGUGUUGUUUGUCGAAAAGGAACGCGUUCUGGGGUUCAGUUUAUUAAGAAGGCCAUCGUUUCUGAGCACCAUUGCAUACUCCACAAUAUCUCUGACCACACAGUUUGCCUGUCCGAACCAAGGAUAUUCAAGGACAGUAAGCUUUAAUGAAUAUUCAUGAAGACAGCGGCUUAUUUUGGUCACUUCCAUGCAGUACCUUCACAGGAGCAGUAGAAUACCCGAUGUCACCUCUGAUUUUGAAUCCAUCAUGAAACUAGAGCUACCGAAUUGCAGUUGUAUUAGGUAGCAAAAAAAGAAAAAGAAGACACAAGUAUCAUAAAUAUAUGAUUGGGUAGAGAUGGCAGGGGUUCAGAGAUGCAACAUUUUUGACUUGUACUGGGCAUAGCUUGGCAUCCACAGGUGGAGUGAGCAAACAUGUUACAAUAAGCAGGAUGCAAUUAUUGGAUGAAAUCAAGAUCUGUUGCACGUGGAACCAAAACAUGCAGUUAAUUGCUCGAGGAACGGCGUCAGGUUGUGGCGCCUAGUGGAUAUACCUUGGAAAUGCGCUCCGGGUUUGGGAAACCCAUACUCUCUGAAGCUAGCAUCUGGCGCUGGGACAUGAGCAUGUUCUUCUCCUUUAGCAGCACAUACCAUAGCUUAUGAAGGUCGUCCCAGGAUUUCAGGCGCAGUUCAGAGGCCUUCCAGCCACGACCUAUCAAUAUCAAUUAAGGGCAAGCAAAAGGCAACAACACUCAUUAGCUUUCCUGACAAGAAUGAUGUGUAACUACAUUUGCUCGUACCGUUCGUAGCAAAAGCAGGCUUGAGACAUGGGAAAUGUAAGAUCCUACCUACUGCUACGACCUACGGCGUGACCUUACGCACCACCGUGACAAAAUUCAGGAUCAUCGCAAAGUACCGGAGAGUAAGUAUAUGGAAGCAAUAACAUAGUAGUACUGGCAUGAGAUUGGUGGCGUCGCAUGAUCCAUGAACCGGAUGUGUCACGACGGCCUAUCCGUCGAAAAUCCGCCAACACCCUCGUAGAGUACAUGGGAUGGGAUGGGAUGGGAUGGGAUGGGAGCGGGGAGUGAUGUUGGUACCGUAGUGGGGCGCGGGCUGGUCGUCCGCGGUGCUCCGCUCGACCUCGAAGAACUCCUCGAGCGGGUUCUGCGCCUUCCUCGCCACCGACGUCGAUGCGGCGGCGGAGGCGCCCUCGGGCGCGGUGGAGAAGAGCCGCCUCGCGAGCGUCCUCGACAGGGAAAGCAUGGCGGACCUGAAGCGGGACGGGUCUCGUCGGGGGAAGAGGAGAUGCCGGCGGGCGGGGCGGCGGCGGCGGCUGGGACCGAUCCACGGGAACGGAAACAAGGGUUUAGACCCAAAACAAAUGGGUUCUGGGCCGGAUUUGGACCAGGAUGGUAACGAGUCGGGCCGAUUCAGGGCUUUUUUGUUUUUGCAAAGCAGCCCCGCGCUUUCAGUCGAAUCAUGCCAGCAGUACAACCUAUCGAAUUCACAUCAAAAAGAAAAAAAAGUGGAAUCAUGCCCGUAAGAAUUUGUUUCGCUCCUGUGCCCAAGAUGCCCUCUUUUUUUUUUGCGGGAUAAAGGAAGUUUAUUAAGAUGUCAUAGUGUUACAGUCGAGAGGCCAUAAACCAUCAAUACAAGGUGGAACCGAACGCAACCACACAGCUGUAGUUCGCUCAAAACCCCAUGAAUAAGCAAUGCUACACAUACUAAAACUUAGGACCUGUUCGGCAGUCCACUAGCUUCUCCCAAUUACAGAAUCUGCGGAGCGUCUGUUUGCUCACUCCAAAAAGUUUAACUGCAGCUCCGUCCGCUCCUGGAGCGAGCCAUGGAGCGGAGGGUUACCGAACGCGCCCUUACGUGAUGAUUUUACGUAAUAGAUGAUGUGAAGGUAAUUAAUUAGGCUAGGAUUAGUGGAACAACAAUACUGCACCUAAACUAACGUAGCUGUUUAGGUGUCCUCUUUUAAUUGGGUUAAUUAGGAAAGGGCCCCACCCACUUGAAAUCUGGAGGGGGAGGAGAGAUUAUUUAAGAAAGUUAAGGCCCUGUUUGAAACCAUCCAGAUUAUAUAAUUCAGUUUUUAUAAUCUAUUUUGUCUUCAAACAGGACAGCUUAUGGUGUAGAUUAUAAAAACUAGAUGGAUAGAUUAUUAAAAACUCAUAAUCUACUCUAUACCAGCUAAAAUCAGAUUAUGGAUUGCUAAUGACCCAUUACCCUUGUAAAGUUGGAGAUAAUUACAUUCCUACCACCGCCACCCUCCUCUUUUAAAAAAAAACAGAGGGCAGACAGGUCAUUAUGCAAUGUACAACCUGGAUUACAGUUUAUAUAAUCUGGCCUCCAAACAUGGUCACCUAGAUUAUUUUUAUAAACCAGAUUAUAUAAUCUAUCUUCAUAAUCCAGAUUAUCAUAAUCUAUUAUGGUUCCAAAUAGGGCCUAAGUAGCAUUACAUAGAAGUUUUACGUAAGUGUAGCAUUUUUGUUAGUGGAAAUAGAAGAUGAAGUGAUUUGCAUCAAUGGAAAUUGUGUCACUUUGGGCCUGCUUGGUUCACAGCCUAGGGUUGCCACGCCUAACCUUAGUCAUGCCAUAAUACUUUAGGCAUGUGUUUGGUUCAUUACCACACUUGUAUCUUGCCACACUUUUAUAGGUAUAUGGUCCAUAUGUCAUACACUUAAUUUUUUUGUCAAAUCUUGUCACAUUUAUGGUGUUCAUUUUGUUAGCCAUACUUUUUUUGACAGCCACACUUUGCCUAAGGUUAGUUGUGUAAAAAUUAGUCAUGAACCAAACAGACCCUUGAUGUUUAUGCCCUCUUUUAUGAAAUUUUGCUUUUUUAUAUCUUCAAGUUGUUGGCUCUUAUUCCACCGUUUUAUGCGAGGCAUUGAUGAAGCAAACCAUUGGUUAGGGUUUUCUUAUCAUACACUUUUCUUUGUAGGGUUUUUUCAUGUUUUAUCUAUUUUGUUGUAUCGUUAAGCAUUGAUUGUAAAUUCUAAAUUUUUCAUGCAACUGGACCAUAUUUGAUAGUACGAGGUAUCUUCUGAGGUAAUUAAAAGCUUUAUGGACAUUAAGUUUUUCCUUCGCGACAAUUCUUUUUUCUUAGGACUGGGGCUUGUUUUAAUCCUGGCUCCACCACUAUAUGUUUGUGCUAUCCUAACUCCAGCAUAAAGCCGGAUACAGUACAACGCGUGAAGAUGUUUCAAGAUCUCACACCGUCAUGCGUGCUUUUACCAGACGAAAUGUCCCCGCGACAUUGGAGUGGGUCAUGCAAACAGAGGGUGCUUAGCCCCUUCCCCUUCCCUGAUGGGAGGAGACAUGGCGACAAUGGACCCGCGGAUGAAGGCGUGGUACAUGGCAGAGCGCCACCUCAUCUUGAACCUCAUGACAGGACCGAUGGCGACCACAACCCCGCCCACGCCAACGCCGAGCAUUGCAACUGCGCCCACAACGCCAACGCCAAUGGCACCCAUGCCAAUGCCGAGCACUGCAACGACGCCCACAACGCCAACACCAGCAGCACCCACGCCAACACCGAGCACUGCAACAGCGUCCACGCCAACACCAACAGCACCCACGCCAACACCGAGCACUGCAACAGCGUCCACGCCAACACCGAGCACCGCGCCUACGCCGAGCUCUCCCACACCCUGCAGGAGAGGAGCUUGUCGUUUGAGUUUCAUAUCUAUGAUUCCUAUCAUUUUGAUCACCGGACUUUAGCUAUGUUCGAUCACCUACCUGUGACAUGAUGAUCGCCCACCUGUGGCAUGGUGACUGCCGAAACUAUGUCGAGCUUUUGGUAGCGAGAAAGAGAACUUUGAAUUUAAGUAUGUUUGCGGCUGAAACCCGGGGGAUGGCUGAAAACAUGCGCCCCUACAAGCUGAAAGGUUACGCUAUGAAAACAUGCGCCCCUACAAGCUGAAAGGUUACGCUAGGGGACCAACCGGCUGGAGAUGGUAUUAGCAUUAUAGCCUUAUAGGACAUACUCUCUCCGUUCUUAAAUAUAUAUCCUUUUAAAGAUUCUACAUACUUAUAUAUAUAGACAUAUUUUAGAGUGUAAUUUCUUUCAUUUUGUUCUGUAUGUGAUACAAUAGUGAAAUCUCUAAAAGACUUAUAUUUAGAAUCAGAGGGAAUACAACACAGGCAGAUAACAGGAUAUUCUGCCUCACAGUUGUUCUUGUUGAAAAGACACCCAGAGUUCCAAACAAACCAUAUAAUGGAGCAUCAGUCAAAAUUUAUCGCUGCCAAAAUUUUGGAAGCAUUUGUCCGCGCUAUCCUAACUCUAGCGUAAAGCGGGAUACAGUUUUACAUUAAUGCGUGAGGAUUCAAGAUCUCGCACCAUCUUAGUCGUUUUCGCCAGACGAAAUGUCCCNN
This 56578-nucleotide long non-coding RNA is filed under the name Hordeum vulgare. RNAcentral's name for it is "long non-coding RNA (HVUL_LNC017431)". The stretch from base 13352 to 13489 matches the Rfam family "MIR1120/MIR1122 microRNA precursor family". The record is from RNAcentral. Lineage: Eukaryota; Viridiplantae; Streptophyta; Magnoliopsida; Poales; Poaceae.